This 50433-nucleotide long non-coding RNA is filed under the name Coffea arabica (coffee). RNAcentral describes it as "long non-coding RNA (CARA_LNC007854)". Lineage: Eukaryota; Viridiplantae; Streptophyta; Magnoliopsida; Gentianales; Rubiaceae. The record is from RNAcentral.
UUUUUUUUUUUUUUUUUUUUUUUUUGUGUGUGUGCGCACACACAUAUAUAAUCAAAAUAUGAAUGAACAAAUGGUGUGUGAAAGGUAGGACUUUAUGCUAAAAGAAAAAGUUAUACUAAAAAAAAUUCAAAAGAAAUUUGUGAGAAAUUUAAAAUUACAAUAAGCAUCUUUCUGUAGGUGAGCUAUUCGUAUUUCCAAAAGCUGAAAGGAAAUCCCCAGAUGAAAAUGACAAAAGGGUCUUCAAAGUUCGAGGAAAAUAAAAUAUUAGUUAGAUGCUAAUUUGAAGCAUUGAAAAAAAAAAUACUAUAAAUUCCAGACAAAAAACUAGUUCCAAAAUGCAAUAUAAGUGUAUCAUCACGAAAAGUGCAAAUUAUGAUCCGAUUCAUAUGUGCAAGUUUUUUUUUUUUUUUUUUUUUUUUGAGAACAUAAAAAUGUUAAGAGAAUAUUUUUGUACAGAAGAGGAUAAAACUUUUAACUUUGUUGAUUGAUACAAUUAUUUAUGCAUCGGAGACAAUAAAUACAAAAACUUUAUUAGAAAAAAUUACGCAGUCGAUCCAGAUCAAUUGUACAACGUUACUUAAAACCCAUUUUAUUGCACUUUUGAUGCAGCCUUAUGGCAGAGAUUUAAAAGUUUCUACAAAAAGAGUGGGCUCAAAUUUGGGCCACUGGUCUUGUUUAGCAAGAAGGGCCCGUUGAAACCCAAGAAAAGAGAAGAAAAGAAGGACCAAGCUUUUUACCAAAUGCAAGACGUCUUCAAUUCAAGUCUUGCAGUUGUGAAUUGUACUCUUUAACGACUCAUUACAAACUAAAUGCCCGUAUCGAUUGCAAGUUUUUGAAAUUUUUAUACUAAAAUAUACUAUAAUGUUGUGAUAUAUGUAAAGUAAAAAAUUGAUCGAAAAAUAUAUCAAGAAAAUUUUUCUGCAAGAAUUCACAAUUCAGACUCUAUCAAUUAGUUAUCCCAAUUAAAAAAAAAAAUGGUUCUUUCUUCUUGAGAGCCGAAAUCCCCUUGGUGGAUGUCUUAGAUUUCGAAAAACAUUGUACCACCUUUUUUAGAAUGCUUUAGCCUUCUUGCCAAAAACACAAGAUUUAGUCUCGUUCUCUUCAGACAUAUACUAAAAUCAAAGCAAUCACUGUAGGAUUAAGGAUUCGUCGGAGAUUGAGCUUCCCUUAAUAUUUUUUCUUCCAUUUUUCACAAAUCCUGCUUCAAUGGAGCCAAAAGAAAGGAAAAACACAGAAAUCACCUAACCCUACGUUUUAACCCGACUGCUUUUUAUAGCUGUGUUUCGAUCUACUUUAGUUCAGCUUUGCUUUCCCGCUUUAUGCUCAUUUUAGUUUAGAGUCAUUGAUUUUCUUUGGCUUGUGUGCUUGGACCUCAUUUAGUCUUCUUAUAAGUGUGUUUGCUAUCCUUUCCUUUUCCUGUUUGACAGAUCUGAGGCACCACAUAUGCAAAGUUGUGGGGGAAAAGUUAGCUAACUUAAAAAAGUAUGAAAAGUUUCGCUACUAAUAUGUGGGAUUUUGCCAAAACUUUGAAAGUUGUGAAGAUAGGAGUGAACUUAUUCCAAAUGAUUUUUGAAAACACGCAUGACAAAGAGAAAGUUUUGAAUGGAAGACUGUGGGUGUUUGAUAAUCAACCACUUGUUUUGCCUUGGAAAGAAAGUAUUGAAACAGAUGAGAGGGCUUUUAAGAAGACUUGGAUCUGGGUUCAAAUAUGGAACUUACCUAUUCAUUGGAUUACCAAGGAAGUGAGGAGAAAGAUUGGUGGGGUUUUUCUGUCAUCAAAAGAUGUUAUUAUACCUAAGGUGGGGAGCAAUGAAGGAAAGCAUGUGAAAAUUCUAGUCAAAAUAGAUCUAACACAACCUUUAAUUAGAGGAACUACUGUUAAAAUGAAUGGAAUAAUUAAAUGGAUUGAUUUCAAGUAUGAGAAAUGCUCGGAUUUUUGCUACUGUUGUGGUAUUAUGGGACAUAGUGAAAAAAAUUGUAAGGUGAGAGGAAGACCUAUUGAUGAGGAAGCUCAGUUUGGUGCUUGGCCUAGAGCCAGUACAACUAGGAGUCCGGCAAAAAAACAAAGUAUACCUAAACAUUCUGAAAAUGAUAAUACUAAUGAUGAAAGAAACUCUAAUAAGAAUGACACUAAAGAAAGACUGAUGUUGACUUGGAAGCCUUUUGAAUAUGACACUAGUGUUGAGGAACUCAGAGGGGAGAGGGAUCAGGGGGAUAGUAAUAUGGAAAAUGGGGAGAGUAAUGAAACAAGGGGUUAGGAAGAAAAACAUGAACUUUGUAGGAGAAAAAAUGAUACUAUUGGAAAAGUCACUAGUCAUUACUAAGACUAUAAAGGGAACAGAUAAGGGGGGACAAAGGAAAGCUACUCAGACACUAGUAAUAUCAUUUUCAAAAUAGGGUCUAGCCAAAAGAUUCAAAAUGAUAUUAUAUGGAUUGAUGGUGUGAAUGAAGCUACAUCAAGAUCUGAGAACAUAAAAAAAAAAAAAAAAUGCUUAGACCAAGUCAAUAUUAUAGGAAAGAAUACUAUAGGGAAUGUGAAAGAGAACAGAAAAGGAAAAUAUAAAAGAAAUAGGGGUUGGAAAAGGUUAGUUCAAGAAGUUAGUAUGAGGAGACCUCUAUUAGAAUGCAAUGGAAGAAGUAUUGAAAAAACAGAGUCCAGUAAGAGGAAGACAUUUAUUACAGAAAUUGAUUUGGAAAGUAAGAAGAUAGAGAUAAUAGAAUAGAAAAAGAGUGGGAGAAUGGAGUAUGAUAACACUGGGAUAUUUUUUCAGCAGGAGGUGGAGCCCUCCCUUAAUGGGGCUCCUAAUCACCAAUGAGAGUUUAGAUGUGGAACUGUCAAGGUGUUGGAAGUCCCUUAACAAUUCCCCAGUUAGAGGAGGUGGUUAAACUCCACUCCCUAUAGUUAAUAUUUCUGUCAGAAACCAAAAAUAAGAAAAGUUAUCUGAAUACUGUGAAGAUGAAACUGAAGUUUGAUAAGCUGUUUGUGAUAGACCCUAUAGAAAAAUCUGAGGGACUUGCUAUUAUGUGGAGAAUGGAACUGGGAGUGAAGAAAGUCUUGUUUAUUGAUUUACAAUUGAAGCGAUGAUAGAAAACCAAUACAUAAAUGAUGAUUGGUGGUUUAUUGGUGUUUAUGCCAAUACUAAGGAUCAUAUUAGAGAACAGCAAUGGAAAUUGAUUUAGCAAAGGAAGCAGAUUUAGGGAGCAAAAUGGGUACUAGCAGGAAAUAUGAAUGAUAUAACAACUAAUGAAGAGAAGUGGAGAGGUAAUAAAAGAUCAGAAAAGAGUUUAAGUGUUCUUACGAGCUUUAUAAGUAACAACCAACUUGUUGACAUUGGUUUUGAAGCUAGACCAUGGACUUGGUGUAAUAACUGGGGACAAGAAAGGGAUGUGAAAGGGAGACUAGACAGAAUUUUAAGCAACAAGGAAUGGAGAGCAAAACACAGGAAAACUAAGUGUAACCAUAUCCAAAAUGAAGCCUUAGAUCAUUGAAUGUUAUCGCUUGACACAGAACCAAGAGAAAGGAAAUAGAAGAAAAGGUUUUAUUUUGACAGAAAGUGGCUUCAAUAGAAGGAAGUUGAAGGUGUAAUCAAAACAGUAUGGAACAAAUAGUAAUUGGGAUCUAGAUUCUUCGAACUCCAACAUAGAAUUAAAGAGUGCAGAGUUGCCUUGCUUAAUUGGAAUAGGACAUUGAACAUGAAUGCAAAAAAAGAGAUCUAGGAUUUAAAGUAGCAGAUCAGUGACAUGCAAAAUGGAGGGUUUCAAGAAAGAAAAGCAAAAAAUUUUUGAGCUGAAAAUGAACUUAAUAGAAGGAUUCAAAAAAGAAGAGAUGUUUUGGGGACAACAGGCAAGAAUAAAUUGGUUAAAAGAGGGGGAUAAAAAUACAAGCUACUUCUAUGCUGUAAUUGAAAGGUGAAGGAAAUGGAAUAAAUAUUUCAACUCUCCAGAAGAAAGAUGGGAACUGAUGUGCUACUAAUGAUGAAAUUGAAGAGGAGAUUUCAAGUUAUUUCUAGAAACUCCUCACUUCUAUCCAUGCAGGGCAAUUUGAUACAAUCUUACAGGGCAUUUCACUAUCAAUUACAAGCCAAAUGAACUCAAGGUUAACUAGACCUAUUUUUGAACUGGAGAUUAAAAAGGCGGUUUUCUCUUUACACCCUAAUAAGGCAUUAGGGCCGGAUGGUAUGACUCCAAUCUUCUUCAAAGGUUCUGGUACAUUAUUAAGCAAGAUAUGAUUGCAACUAUUAAUAGUUUCUUUCAUACGGGUAAUCUCUGAAAAGUGUUCAUGAAAUAGCUGUUACUUUAAUUCCAAAGAUCCAUUCUCCCUUUUUGGUUUCACAAUUUAGACCAUAAGUCUCUACAAUACGGUGCACAGAAUCCUUUCUAAAAUCCUGGUUAACAGAUUGAAACCUUUUUCUGAAACAUUGUAUAAGUCUUAAUCAAUUUGCUUUGAUCCUAGGUAAAUAGAUCAUAUAAAAGUGACAGGUGCCGAACCUGUGCAAUAAUAAAUACUAAAAAGUCCUAAUUACCACCACAAUUAAUUAUAGAACAAAUCCAAGUACUGGAGCUGGGGCCCUAGGUGUGCAAUGAGUUACUUGAUUCACCCUGUUCCCGAAGAGUUUGCUUGAUCCGAUAUACCAGAUUUGUCUAUAAAAAUAUUAAUUUUGCGUACAAUGGCAAUUAGAAUCGAUUUCACAGGGAGCGGGUAGGAAAUUAUUUCUUUCCAAAUUCGUAGAACGAAAUUGGGGGAUUUUCAAUGGAAAGCAAAUAAAAAUGAAAUAAAACAAACAAAAAUCAAAACUAACUCACAAAGCACAAUUCACUAAAAAUAGCAAUUAAUAAAAUUCCACCCAAAGGAUCUACUGCUCAGGCAUGGUCCAGUUAAAUGAUCAUCGAUGCAAAGAUAUUUCAUCCAUUCGUUACUAAGUUGGUUAUAGUUAUCAAUAAGCUCUGACAACCAGUUCUUCCUUACUUUUUUGACAGUCAAGGUGCGAUCAUUGACUGCUUCCCUAACCAGAUAACAACCUUAGGUACGACCGUAGGAAUUUAAUUAUCCAAUUGCAUUAAAGUUAGAAGAACCCAACCCUAACCAACAAGCACGCUAAUAGGGCUUAUUUAAGAUAGAUCUUACGUUUCCCCAUCAUAAAGCCAAUUAUGGUGGUCGCCACUAGGUAUCAACUAAACGAACAAUUACGGAUUCAAUUUAGUUAAUGUGACAGUAGGCUAUUAAAUUAAAUCAAAUACCCGACCGUUGAUAUUCAAUUAAUAAAAUACCCAUGAACAAUUAAUUCAGGAAACGCACGAAUAGCAAUAAAGUGGAAGAAAUAAUGAAUAUUUGAUUAAAUCUCACAGAUAUUAUGGACCGCGCGCCUCGCGUCAACCUUUGGGUAGAGGAGAAAAUUAGCCGCUCCUCAUCGUGUCAAUCCCGCGUGAUUUAAUUGAAUUCAUUCAAUUAAUUGCUGAAGAAUUUGGAAGAAGUGAAACAGCGAAGGAUAGGGAGACGAAAGCCCCUUAAUUCCUUUUCCUUAUUUCGGGUCCCUGCGGGAGCCGCAAGCACAAAAAAACAAAACCCACGAGGAAUUAUCCGGAGUAAGAGUAGAAGCAAAAACGUCUCCGUCGUACCAGGCCAAAAGCCAACAAGAAAAAUCUCCAAUAUCUGACCACUAGGGAAAUAGGAGAUGAAAAGCUAAUCUAAUUUCGGCCGAAUAAAAACAACAGCAAAGAAGAAGCGUCUGACCCCGAAUUGCAAAAAGUAAAUCUAAAGCUUAAGUAGUCAUCCCCUGAAUCUUGCUUUUUCCUCCUUUUUAUAGCCGCCGUCAGUAGUUUUCCUCCCAGGAAGAGGCUUUUGCCUAAGGGGCUCUGAUCCCACGCUCCAGGUUCACGUGGACCGGGGUCCGACUUUUCGAUAACGUCUAUCUUUUCUGGCGUGGCCACGCUCUGAGACGAAGGGUCUUCUGUAAAUUUGCCUCAAGAGAUUAUUUUUAAUGUCGACCACCUAUAAUUCAUACAAAUAUGAAAUAUGAGUUAAAUCUCAAUAUUUAGCACAAUAAAUAGCCAAAAUUAGGACAAAAUAACAGUGCAAACUGUGCCAAGUAACCGCUCUAUCAAAAGCAGUGAUUCUUGGAUAUAUAAAAGCAUCAGUAGUGCCAUGGAUUUAUUGAAGAGAGGGGCUAGAAAAAGAGUAGGGGACUGGAAAGAUAGAUGGAUUCCAAACAGAGGAAAAGGGAAAGUAUCAACUACUAGACUACCAAAUUAUGAAAUAAAAAGAGUGCAGGAAAUCAUCAAGGAUGAAAAAUGGAACAUGUCAAUGAUGAGAACUCUACUGAAUGAAAAAGACUGCAAGAGAAUUAGCAGAAUACCAAUAAGUAGCUAUAGGGGAAAAGACAAGGUGGUAUGGCCUUAUUCAUUAUCAGGGAAAUAUACUGUUGUUUAGAUUUUUGAUGUAUUUGGAAGUGUACAUCUACUUCUUUAUUGUUGAAUGUAUAUAUAAGAAAAAAAAACAUAACAACCAUGUUCACAUGACAUAACAACCAUGUUCACAUGACCUUUAAGCAUAACCCACUACAUUAUAACUGCUCCUAAACAUAUGCAACUGAUUUCCUAAAAAUAAGCAACAAACAAAACAUUCCUAAAGACUUGUUCUGCAGACUAAGGCACAUGUGCACAUCUCCAACAAAUCUCCUCCUUGCCUUAGUAUUUGCAAACACCUAACUUGAUUCUCAAUUCUUCAAAUCUUGCUUUUGAAAGGGCUUUAGUCAGCAAAUAUGCAAUCUGUUCCUUUGUAUUGCAAUAAAUCAGCUUGAUUUCACCUGCUCUCUGUUCUUUUCUUAAGUGAUACAGCUUGAUAUUAAAGUGCUUUGUUUUCUCAUGGAAAAUCGGAUCCUUUGAGAUUGCAAUAGUAGCUUGAUUAUCUACAAAAAUCUUUGUUGGCUCAAUCUGAUUCAUGUGCAAGUCUACAAGUAAUUUUCUAAUCCAAAUUGCUUGGUUCACCGUGGUAUUAGCUGCAAUAAAUUCUGCCUCUGCUGUACUUUGAGCAACCACAUCUUGCUUUUUUGAACUCCAUGAGAAAACACCUGAACCAAAGCUAAAACAAAAACCAGUUGUGCUUCUCAUGUCCUUAGUAAUACCUGUCCAAUCACUGUCAGAAAAUCCUUGGAGCUGGAAAUCAUGACGGCAAGAAUACUUAAUGCCAUAAUCUGUUGUACCUUUGACAUAUCUUAAAAUACAUUUAGUAGCUGCAAAAUGCACUUCACUGGCACAAUUCAUAAACCUUGACAUUAAGCUUACUGCAAACAUUAUAUCCGGUCUUGUAGCUGUGAGAUACAUCAAACAGCCGAUCAGACUCCUGUAUAGCCCUUUAUUAACUUUUUCUGCUCCAUCUUCUUUGCUAAACUUCUCCUUUUGAUUCAUUGACUGAUUCCUUUGCAGUCUUUCAUAUGAAAUUUCUUAAGAAUUUCCUUUGUGAACUUCUUUUGACAUAUGAAGACUCCAUCAUGACCUUGUUUUACCUCCAUUCCUAGGAAGUAGGUCAAUAAACCGAGAUCUGUCAUCUCAAAAGUUUUGAACAUCUCAGCUUUAAAUUCAUUCACUAGUUUCUCAUUACUUCCUGUAACAAGUAGAUCAUCAACAUAAACAGAUACUAUAGUUAAGCUAGCAUUUGAAUUCUUCACAUAUAAAGUGGCUUCACUUGGACUUUUAACAAUUUUUUUAUCCAAGACUUUGAAGAUAAUUGUCAAUUCUGCUAUACUAGACCCUGAGAGCUUGCUUAAGGCCAUAUAAAGCCUUCCUUAAUCUGUAAACUUUCUCCUCCUGUCAUUUAACAUGAAAUCCCUCUGGUUGUUCAACAUAGAUUUCUUCUUGAAGAUAACCAUUUAAAAAGGCUGACUUUACAUCCAACUGGUAAAGCUUCCAACCUUUUUGUGCAGCCAAGACCAACAACAUAGCGAAAGUUUCUGAAAAAUCUACCCCAAAAACUUGACUAUACCCCUUCACAACUAAUCUGGCUUUGUGUUUGUUCACAGAACCAUCAGCAUUGAAUUUGGUUCUGUAAACCCAUUUCACUCCAAUGAUCUUUCUGUUUUGAGGUUUGUCUACCAACUCCCAAGUGCCAUUUUUCUCGAUCAUACGCAGCUCCUCUCUCAUAGCAUCAAUCCAUUUGUCAUCUUUUUCUGCUUCCUGAAAUUUUGCAGGUUCAAAAACAGCAACAUUGCUUCUUUCAUAGAUAUCAGAUAGAGAUCUUGUGCCAUGAAUUGUGACAUCAUCUAUAUUGUCAUCAAGAUGAUGUGAAUAUACUGGCACCUGCUUUUCUAAUGAUUCCUCCCAACUCCAUUGUUUAUCUUCCAUAAAUUUGACAUCUCGACUUACAAUAAUUUUCCCAUUUUGUCGUUGGAAAAUUCUAUAAGCUUUGGAAGUGCUGCUAUAGCCAACAAAAAUACCUGCUUCUGCUUUCUUAUCAAGUUUGUAUCGUUUCACCUGAGACACAUAAGAAAAAGAGAGACAACAAAAAAUUUUCAGACUUUGUAAAUCUGGUUUGUAACCGAACCAGGCUUCAAACGGUGUUUUUCCUUAUACAGCUUUAGUUGGCAGCCUGUUUAACAGAAAAACUGCUGUACUUGUAGCUUCUGUCCAAAGCUUCUUUGGUAACUCCUUUUCAUAUAGCAUACACCUCGCCAUCUCCAUGAUGCUCCGAUUUUUUCUCUCACUUACACCGUUCUGUUGUGGAGUGUAAGGUGCUGUGAGUUGGUGUUCAAUACCUGUUUCCUCACAAAACUUGUCAAAGACUUCAUUUUUGUACUCUUUCCCAUUGUCAGACCUUAUUAUGCGCAAACUGCAAUUACUUUGAUUCUCCACAAAAGCUUUAAACUUCCAAAAUAUAUUAGGAACCUCAGCUUUGGAUUUGAGAAAAUAAAUCCAGCAAAAUCUGGUAUAAUCGUCUAUAAAAACAAUAUAGUAUUUACUACCAUUCAAAGAUGGAGUUGCCUGAGGUCCUCCAACAUCAGUGUGCACAAGUUGCAGCUUGUGUGAUGCUCUCCAGGCUGAUUGAGAAAAUGGUUUUCUUACAUGCUUUCCAUAUUGACAAGCCACACAAUCUGCUAGUUUAUCCUCCAACAACGCUACACCCUUUACAAAGUUAUUUUUCUGCAUAUAUAGGAGUCCAGCAUGAUGGAAAUGCCCAAGUCUUUUGUGCCACAAUUCUGCAUUGCUUACAUGACUUGCAAGUGCUGCGUGCUCAUCCUUCAUCAAAUUUAAGGCGAAACUCUUAGCUCUCAUCUUCACUUUAAACACAUUUUUGCCCCUUGCAUCCUUGAUCAAGCACCACUUGUCUUCAAAAAUAACUUUGAAGCCUUUUUCAACAAGCUGUCCAACACUCAGCAAGUUUUGAUCAAUGUCAGGCACAUAUAAAACAUUGGUGAUGUGUUUUAAACCUGUCAAGCUUUCAAUAGCAACUGUCCCUGUUCCCUUGAUUGAGAUAAACUCACCAUUUCCAAUUUUUACUUUGGAAAUGAGAGUCUUAUCAAUCUCUGUAAAAAGAGCUUGAUCAUUGGUCAUGUGGUUGGUGCAGCCACUAUCUAUCAACCAGGAAUCACUUGAGCUGUUGUUAGUGGCAAAACACGUAGCCACGAAGAGUUGUUCUUCCUCUUGUUGUUCUGUGGACACUCCUGCUAUUUCAAGCUGUUGCGAUUUGCAGACCCUCUCUAUGUGUCCCAUAUCGCCACACAUUCUGCACUUGAUAUCAGGCCUCCACCAACACCUUUUUGGCAUAUGGUUCGACUUCUUGCAAUAUGGGCAAGGUGAACUUGCAUCAUUUUUGUUGGCAUUGCUGGACUUGUUGCUCUUCUUUUUCUUCGUAAUUUUCUUGUCUUUGCCUCCUCUAGAACUUUCUGAUUUGGCUUUGAAUGCACCCUCUACAAUUUCUCUUUCCUUAUCAUUCUUCUUUGCUCUAGAGCCUGCAAAGCAUUCACCAACUCUGCCAAGGAUAUGCUUGAUAGAUCUUUAGACUCUUCCAAAGAAGAAAUUUUAGACUCGUAUUUCUCAGGUAAAGUGACAAAAAUUUUUUGGACGAUUCUCUCAUUAGAAAAGUCCUUACCUAACAGUUUCACCCUGUUAACAAUGCCUAGUAGCUUAUUGGAGUAGUCUUUGAUCGUUUCUGACUCCUUCAUCUUCAUCAUCUCAAACUCUCUGAUUAAGUUGAGCACUUGCAUGUUCUUGGUUCUUUCAUUGCCCUGGUACUCCUUCUUGAGGUAGUCUCAUAUGUCUUUGGCUGAUUCUAGGUUCAUGAUCUUGGUAAAUAUGGUGCUUGAAACGGCAGAGAAAAGACAUGCUUUAGCCUUUGACUUCCUUGUUUUUCUCUCCUUAUGAUUCUUCAUUUGUGCCACCGUGGGAUUUGCUGGCAGCGGUGGUACAUCAUAAUCUUCUUCUACAGCCUCCCAAAGAUCCAAUGCCUCAAGGUGGACUGUCAUCCUAACAGCCCAUGCUUGAUAAUUUUGGCCAUCAAAGACUGGUGGAUCAACAUGAUUGAAGAAUGAUUGAGUAUCAACCUCUAUUCUGAAAGUUUUCGUUUGUAUCACUCGAUCUUACAAGUCCCUCAAGAUGAAAGCUCUGAUGCCAAUUUGCUGUUUAGAUUUUUGAUGUAUUUGGAAGUGUGCAUCUACUUCUUUAUUGCUGAAUGUAUAUAUAAGAAAAAAAACAUAACAACCAUGUUCACAUGACCUCUAAGUAUAACCCACUACAUCAUAACCGCUCCUAAACAUAUGCAACUGAUUUCCUAAAAAUAAGCAACAAACAAAACAUUCCUAAAGACUUGUUCUGCAGACUAAGGCACAUGUACACAUCUCCAACAAAUACAAUAAAAACAGGCUAUGUAUUAGCUAAAGACAUACAACAGGAAAGAAGCAGAAAGGCUCAACCUGAUGAAGGAAGUAGCAGAAACGACCAAAAUACUGGUGUGUGGAAAUUUUUGUGGAGCCUUAAUAUAAAACAUGAACUGAAACACUUCAUCUGGAAGUGUCAUUGCAGAAUACUUUUAGUUAAUGAAGUCAUAAAGACAAGAAUUGGGAAAGGAGUGGAUACUUGUACAUGCUGUGGAGAGGGGUCAGGAACUUUGAAACACAUGUUAUUCUUUUGCAAACAUGCAGAAAUGAUUUGGAAGGCAGCCCCAAUCAGUUGGGAUGGAUUAAACAUGUUCAAACAAAAUAUUUGGCUCUGGUGGAACAGUCUAAUGGAGGCAAAGGCAAGAGAAGAGGGGAUGGAAUACAUUGUAUUGACAAUAGACAUUUUAUGGAAGAUAUGAAAAUCUAGAAACCACAUUCAAUUCAACAAGGAAAGAAAAUGUCCAGGAAUAGUGGCAAGCAAAGCAGUGCAAGAAUAGCAAGAAUAUAGAGCAGUGCAAAGAGAGGAAGAUGGGGAAACAGGAAAAAGUAAGAAGAAUUCUGAGGUUGAGGUCAAGUGGAAACCACCUACAAAUGGUUUCAUAUGUUAAACACUGAUGCAACUUUGGAUAAAAAACAAGAGAAGGCUAGAUGGGGAAUUGUAACAAGGAAUGAACAUGGAGAAGUAGUAUGCACUUGGGCUGGAAAUGAAAGCAAGGACAGUAAAGCUGAGAUUGAAGAAGCGGAUGCAAUCAGAACUGCAUUGACAAAGGCCAAAUAGGAAGGUUGGAGGAAGGUUAUAGUCCAAUCAGAUUGCAAAAAGGUGGUGGACAAGAUUGUAGAGAGUGGUACACUUGAUCCUGUGAUGGGAACAAUAGUUGAGGACAUACUUAGUUUUAUACAAAGUUUUAGCAAAUGACGUCUUUCCUUUAUCAAGAGAGAAGGUAACUAUGUUAGUCAUCAUUUGGCAAAAUUUGCCAUAAACCUGGUUAAGGAAGUUUGUUAGAGGAUUCUUUCCCUCUCUAGUUAAUCAACUUAACUAGAAACAAUGUAGGAGCAAUUACUCCAUCCUAGUAAUCCUUUGUGUUUGAAAUACAAAGCUAUUGUCAUUUGGUAAAAAAAAAAAAUAGUUAUCUCAAUCAAUUGAAAAAAUUAUGUCGAUAAUUAAUAAUAGAACACUUUGAAAGGCUACAUACAACGUAGAUUCUUUGUUGCAGAGAAAGAAAAGGUCCAACCCCCAUUAAUAUACGACGUGUCUUAGUCGUUUUUUUAUUAAAAAAGAAAAAGAAAAAGAAAGCCAUAUUGAAGGUGACCGAUUGUGAUAUUACUAGGCUAUGAAAAUUAGCAUUCAGCAAUGUGCUUGCAUUAAGAAUAGGAUAAAUUACCUUUUACCGCCGUGAUUUGGUGUUUUACCACAUAAAUUCCCUAUGAUUUAAAAAUUUAUAUAUGACCCUCUCAUAGUUUGGGUUAAUGUGUCACUGUUAGUUUUUCGUUCAAACUAACGGCAAAUAAUAAAAAAAUCAAAGUUAAACUAAUAAAAAGAUAAAUUUACCCUUUCAUUACUUCUUUUUUUCCUCUAAACAUAAAAAAGAAGAAAUUGAAAUAAAAAAUAAAAAUAAGAACUAGAAAAUACCAUUAAAGAUUCGGUUUAAAAACAUAUAAUGAUAUUUGAAGUAAAAAAAGAUUUGAUAUUUUUUAUUUCUUAUUUAUUUGUUUUAUGUUACUGUUCCAUCUUUUUCGUUUCUUAUUUAUUUUUUAUUUCUCUUUCAUCACUUUGAUAUUUGGAGAAAAUUAAGAUUUUGUAGGCUAAAGUAUAGAUUUUCAAAAUCAUCUAUUCUCUUCCAAAAAAAAAAAAAAGAGAGAGAGAGAGUGAGAGAAAGAAAAGGGGAAAAGGAAAAAAAAAGUGAAAGGAUGAAUUGUCAAUUUAUUACUUGACUUUGAUAUUUUAUUAUUGACCAUUAGUUUUAACGGAAAAACUAGCAAUAACACUUUAAUCUCAAUUAUGAGAAGAUUAUAUAUAGAUUUUUUUAACCAUAAGGGGGUUGCAUGGUAAAACACCAUACCACACCAUGGGGAAGGGAAUAAAGGGUAAUUCAUACUUAAAAAUAUAGUGGUGAUUAAGCAUACAGAACAAGGAUAUGACUCCACAGCCAUAUUCAUGUAAUCUAAAAUUUUGGCUGGGAUAUGAGAAUUCACAUUUACUUUCACACCUUGUAUUUAUAGUUACUGGGAUGCCGGGAAACAGCAGAACAAUCCCUGCAUUGAUUCAUUUGCUUGGUCUAACAUAUGCUCUAUUUAUAGGUUCAUCUGCAUGCAGUUUGGUACUGCUUCAGGGGUCAGAAACAUGGAUAGACACAAUUAUGACACAAGAUUUGAGUAUGGUUGCCAAAUUUUCACAAGAAAAGGUCCAUUUUGCAUCUGAUCUUUUAAAACCAGUCCAUGAGAUUUGCAUUAUAAACACAUAAUUCAGUAAUCUGUGAGAUACUGAGACAGCCUCCGAAUAGACCAAAAGCUGUGUCCACAAGAUGCUUAAUAGAAAAACAAAAUGUCAGAACAGGUCAAUCUAGUUCCAGGUAGCAUUACAUAGAAGAGUUUCGAACAGAAUUUGAUGCACUAAUAAUGACACAAUCUCAGCAGCCUCAGCAACCUGUUAGAACAUUGAACAAACAUCAUUAGAUACGUUGAAAUGAAAAAAGAUACACAAAAAGAGAAGAAAAAUGUCACCACAAUAAAUAGUAUGAUAGGUUGUAAUUUUAUCAUUUAUUUUAUAAUUAAUUUCCCCUAUUACUUAACCCAAUGUGAAUUAAUUAUUAGAUUCUACUCACUUUUCGUAAUUUGCAUUUAUUUCAGGGAGUAGAAUAAAAAUGUCACAAUCAAGGCCAAUUUGACGGUCAUCGGGAAAGAGUUCAAAUAGCAGGCAAUCAAGGGCAUUCUUGGAACAAGGAGAUGCAUGACCUUUUUGGUAAUUUUGACCGAAGACAGCAACUAGAAAAAGGGAAAAGAAAGCAAACCUGAGGGCCUUCUUUUUCUCGGGUGCGGCGGACGCCGCACAGGAGGAGUAGCAAUUAGAAUAGGAAUUAAGAUUGCAGGAGGAGAGCACUAUCCUCUGGUCUUCUUUAGUUUUUUCGUCUUGUAGUAUAGCUUUGAGCUUUGACUUUUCUUUUGGUUGGUAGUAGUUCCUUUCCCCUGCGUAUGUCAGGAAGAAUUAGUAACAAGCAAUCACCUUUUGUAGCCUCGUUUUCCUUUCCUGAAGCGAAUUGGACUUUUCCAAGACGCAGACCAUGGUCGCGACUCUUGUUUUUAUUUCCUGUGGAUUUUGUUCAUUAACUAUGAACUAAAUUCCUUUUUCUAGUCAAGGCCUAAAAUUGUGAGAUCGAUUUAAUUUAAUCUUUUUCUUUUAUUUAUUGGUAUUCGCAUAUUCCUUGAUUGCUAUGCUUAUGGUUAUUUAAUUAAUUGACUGUCUAGGAUCCAGAUAAUUAGUUGAUUGGGUAAUCUAUUGUCAAUUAGGGCAUUAAAUCCGUAAUUGUUUAAUUGCUCUAAAAUAGUGACAACUGGCACGAUUGAGUUUGUGUCAGGGGAAUACGCGGGCUAAUCUAAAAUAACCCUGGUAGUGUGUUAUUUGGUUAGAAUAGGGCUCCUCUAAUACGUAAGGCAAUUGGGGAAUUAAAUUCUACGGGCGUACCUAGGAUUAUUUCUCAAUUAGAGCAGUGAUUAACAGGCGUACCUUGAUCACCGACACAGUAAGGAUGGGUUGACUGCCAUUGCUUGUUUGGUAGUUAUAACCUAUUUAUUAGUAAAUAAUUAGAAUUGCCUUUGCUUAUCGAUGAUCAAUUAGGUGAACCAUUGCUGAAGUUAUUUCUUGGCUAGAUUCUUAAUUAUCAUUCAUUUGAUUUUAGUAAUUUGUUAUUUAAUUUUUAGUAGUUUCUUAGAUUUUAUUUGAAUUUAUUUGAUUGUCACUUUCUGCACAAAAACACCCCCUUGUCACCGUGAACUUGAAAAGAAACAAUUACUCCCAGUCCCUGUGGAUUCGACCCUGCUCACCACUAUCUACAGAAAUUAUUUUUAGUUUGAGCAGAUAUUUAUUAUUGCACAGGCUGACGACCUGUCAUAGUAGAACAACUAGAAACUGGUUUUCCACUUCUCAAUGCUGCUCUGCACAUAGUAUCACCACAACUCUACACAAUCUUCUUCCCGUUUUGAAUAAAGUAGGGCUCUCAACCACUAUCUCCAACAUAAAUCAGACCAGUAAAUCCAUUUUCCUUUUCCUGGUCCAAGAACUUCCACAAGAAAAAGACUUCAGGCCUCCAAAUGUGUAUUUAUAUGCUCUAUGGUGAACAAGUUCCUGCUACAUGACAAUUAAAGACGAAAUUUGCCAUCCUAAACGCAGCAAUUGUUUAACACCAAAACACAUGCAAUUUGCUGUAACAGAGUGGACAACUAUGUUAGUUCUUUAAUCAUCUAAAAUCAGGAUAAAGGGACACUUCUAAAGAGUUGGAUACUGGUACUUAGGUAUGAUGGACAUUCUAGGAAAUAUACAAAUUAUGUACAUCGAUUGUUGUUUACUUGUUAACGAACAGGGCCAUUUUGCCUUGGGAGCUUUUCAGAUUUCAUUUAUACAAGGGAAAUUCAGAAUUUUAGAUAGGUCUUCUGUCUCUCUAACAUGAAAGUCCUAAAGUUUUCCACUUCACUUCUCUCCUCCCCCUUCACCAUCAACAUCCACUGACAAAAAAGAAAGUACCCAAAAAAUUGUUGAAGUGCCCCAAAUGGAUCCCAUACCAGUACCAGUGUCAAGUUAUGUCGACACGGGCACACUGGGGUAAAACAAAAAGCUGGAGUAACAUAGGUGGAAGGGUGAUUUUCAGGUAGCUAAUCUGUUAGUGUCACCAGUUUGACAAGCAUGGUGCAGCUUAUACCCAUUAUGGCGACAAUGGCUUUCACCCUGACAAAAUUAUAAAUAACUCGAUGACCAUGUCUUGGAAAAUGUUUUGCAUUGCUUGGGCCUCCAAGAAAGAUAGAUGGUGAGAGUGAUAGCUGGAAAUUUCAAUCACAUAAUAAAGCUCACUUCUCUCUUCCUUUCUAUCUGGAUCGGAAGAAUCAAAUCCCUACGCCACGGAACUGGUCAUGAAAAAAUGAAUGUAUAUUAGGAACCACAUAUACCCCUCAUCUCAACACACAUGAUUUAUUUCUACAGCCAAGCCCCACAAAAACUUUGGUUUUAAGAGGACAGAAAGCAAACUCCUACAAAAAAAGGUUUCAAGAUUAUAAUCGUGUUUGAAGUUACUGAAGACAAGAGUGACGAAUCCAGCUAAAGCUUUUCUGAAUAAUGCCAUCAGCGAAACCUCUUCAAACAGGCUUGAGUAUCAUUCUUCAACGCAAUUAUAGCUACCAAACCAGUAACACGCCAACUUGCACUCACAGCAGUUUUGUUACCAGCAAGUAGCCAGUAGGGUUUCAGACUUCAAUAACAGUACAAGAGCUGCUAAAACACUAUGCAAUGAAAGUAGCUAAUAAGCAACUGUUAAGAAUUGAACUUUGUUCCAACCUCGAAAGGAAAAGAUAUCAGAAAUUAUACUAGUCAACAACUGUUAUUUGCCUUUAUCUCUCUCUGCCCCUAACUCAAGCAUACUUCCCAUUCAACUGAAGUUCAAACUCAAUAAAAGCCCAGAUUCCAAGAACUACAGCUUAUUGUUAAAUGUGAGUAUUAUCCUCAGCUAUCUUUUCUCUGGAAAAGCUGUUUAAUCAGAUUCGUUCCCAGCUGGGGAUACAAUGUGAAUUAAUUAUUAGAUUCUACUCACUUUUCGUAAUUUGCAUUUAUUUCAGGGAGUAGAAUAAAAAUGUCACAAUCAAGGCCAAUUUGACGGUCAUCGGGAAAGAGUUCAAAUAGCAGGCAAUCAAGGGCAUUCUUGGAACAAGGAGAUGCAUGACCUUUUUGGUAAUUUUGACCGAAGACAGCAACUAGAAAAAGGGAAAAGAAAGCAAACCUGAGGGUCUUCUUUUUCUCGGGUGCGGCGGACGCCGCACAGGAGGAGUAGCAAUUAGAAUAGGAAUUAAGAUUGCAGGAGGAGAGCACUAUCCUCUGGUCUUCUUUAGUUUUUUCGUCUUGUAGUAUAGCUUUGAGCUUUGACUUUUCUUUUGGUUGGUAGUAGUUCCUUUCCCCUGCGUAUGUCAGGAAGAAUUAGUAACAAGCAAUCACCUUUUGUAGCCUCGUUUUCCUUUCCUGAAGCGAAUUGGACUUUUCCAAGACGCAGACCAUGGCCGCGACUCUUGUUUUUAUUUCCUGUGGAUUUUGUUCAUUAACUAUGAACUAAAUUCCUUUUUCUAGUCAAGGAGCAACGGAUGCUUUGGGUCGCCUAAAAUUGUGAGAUCGAUUUAAUUUAAUCUUUUUCUUUUAUUUAUUGGUAUUCGCAUAUUCCUUGAUUGCUAUGCUUAUGGUUAUUUAAUUAAUUGACUGUCUAGGAUCCAGAUAAUUAGUUGAUUGGGUAAUCUAUUGUCAAUUAGGGCAUUAAAUCCGUAAUUGUUUAAUUGCUCUAAAAUAGUGACAACUGGCACGAUUGAGUUUGUGUCAGGGGAAUACGCGGGCUAAUCUAAAAUAACCCUGGUAGUGCGUUAUUUGGUUAGAAUAGGGCUCCUCUAAUACGUAAGGCAAUUGGGGAAUUAAAUUCUACGGGCGUAUCUAAGAUUAUUUCUCAAUUAGAGCAGUGAUUAACGGGCGUACCUUGAUCACCGACACAGUAAGGAGGGGUUGACUGCCAUUGCUUGUUUGGUAGUUAUAACCUGUUUAUUAGUAAAUAAUUAGAAUUGCCUUUGCUUAUCGAUGAUCAAUUAGGUGAACCAUUGCUGAAGUUAUUUCUUGGCUAGAUUCUUAAUUAUCAUUCAUUUGAUUUUAGUAAUUUGUUAUUUAAUUUUUAGUAGUUUCUUAGAUUUUAUUUGAAUUUAUUUGAUUGUCACUUUCUGCACAAAAACACCCCCUUGUCACCGUGAACUUGAAAAGAAACAAUUACUCCCAGUCCCUGUGGAUUCGACCCUGCUCACCACUAUCUACAGAAAUUAUUUUUAGUUUGAGCAGAUAUUUAUUAUUGCACAGGCUGACGACCUGUCAUAGUAGAACAACUAGAAACUGGUUUUCCACUUCUCAAUGCUGCUCUGCACAUAGUAUCACCACAACUCUACACAAUCUUCUUCCCGUUUUGAAUAAAGUAGGGCUCUCAACCACUAUCUCCAACAUAAAUCAGACCAGUAAAUCCAUUUUCCUUUUCCUGGUCCAAGAACUUCCACAAGAAAAAGACUUCAGGCCUCCAAAUGUGUAUUUAUAUGCUCUAUGGUGAACAAGUUCCUGCUACAUGACAAUUAAAGACGAAAUUUGCCAUCCUAAACGCAGCAAUUGUUUAACACCAAAACACAUGCAAUUUGCUGUAACAGAGUGGACAACUAUGUUAGUUCUUUAAUCAUCUAAAAUCAGGAUAAAGGGACACUUCUAAAGAGUUGGAUACUGGUACUUAGGUAUGAUGGACAUUCUAGGAAAUAUACAAAUUAUGUACAUCGAUUGUUGUUUACUUGUUAACGAACAGGGCCAUUUUGCCUUGGGAGCUUUUCAGAUUUCAUUUAUACAAGGGAAAUUCAGAAUUUUAGAUAGGUCUUCUGUCUCUCUAACAUGAAAGUCCUAAAGUUUUCCACUUCACUUCUCUCCUCCCCCUUCACCAUCAACAUCCACUGACAAAAAAGAAAGUACCCAAAAAAUUGUUGAAGUGCCCCAAAUGGAUCCCAUACCAGUACCAGUGUCAAGUUAUGUCGACACGGGCACACUGGGGUAAAACAAAAAGCUGGAGUAACAUAGGUGGAAGGGUGAUUUUCAGGUAGCUAAUCUGUUAGUGUCACCAGUUUGACAAGCAUGGUGCAGCUUAUACCCAUUAUGGCGACAAUGGCUUUCACCCUGACAAAAUUAUAAAUAACUCGAUGACCAUGUCUUGGAAAAUGUUUUGCAUUGCUUGGGCCUCCAAGAAAGAUAGAUGGUGAGAGUGAUAGCUGGAAAUUUCAAUCACAUAAUAAAGCUCACUUCUCUCUUCCUUUCUAUCUGGAUCGGAAGAAUCAAAUCCCUACGCCACGGAACUGGUCAUGAAAAAAUGAAUGUAUAUUAGGAACCACAUAUACCCCUCAUCUCAACACACAUGAUUUAUUUCUACAGCCAAGCCCCACAAAAACUUUGGUUUUAAGAGGACAGAAAGCAAACUCCUACAAAAAAAGGUUUCAAGAUUAUAAUCGUGUUUGAAGUUACUGAAGACAAGAGUGACGAAUCCAGCUAAAGCUUUUCUGAAUAAUGCCAUCAGCGAAACCUCUUCAAACAGGCUUGAGUAUCAUUCUUCAACGCAAUUAUAGCUACCAAACCAGUAACACGCCAACUUGCACUCACAGCAGUUUUGUUACCAGCAAGUAGCCAGUAGGGUUUCAGACUUCAAUAACAGUACAAGAGCUGCUAAAACACUAUGCAAUGAAAGUAGCUAAUAAGCAACUGUUAAGAAUUGAACUUUGUUCCAACCUCGAAAGGAAAAGAUAUCAGAAAUUAUACUAGUCAACAACUGUUAUUUGCCUUUAUCUCUCUCUGCCCCUAACUCAAGCAUACUUCCCAUUCAACUGAAGUUCAAACUCAAUAAAAGCCCAGAUUCCAAGAACUACAGCUUAUUGUUAAAUGUGAGUAUUAUCCUCAGCUAUCUUUUCUCUGGAAAAGCUGUUUAAUCAGAUUCGUUCCCAGCUGGGGAUACAAUGUGAAUUAAUUAUUAGAUUCUACUCACUUUUCGUAAUUUGCAUUUAUUUCAGGGAGUAGAAUAAAAAUGUCACAAUCAAGGCCAAUUUGACGGUCAUCGGGAAAGAGUUCAAAUAGCAGGCAAUCAAGGGCAUUCUUGGAACAAGGAGAUGCAUGACCUUUUUGGUAAUUUUGACCGAAGACAGCAACUAGAAAAAGGGAAAAGAAAGCAAACCUGAGGGUCUUCUUUUUCUCGGGUGCGGCGGACGCCGCACAGGAGGAGUAGCAAUUAGAAUAGGAAUUAAGAUUGCAGGAGGAGAGCACUAUCCUCUGGUCUUCUUUAGUUUUUUCGUCUUGUAGUAUAGCUUUGAGCUUUGACUUUUCUUUUGGUUGGUAGUAGUUCCUUUCCCCUGCGUAUGUCAGGAAGAAUUAGUAACAAGCAAUCACCUUUUGUAGCCUCGUUUUCCUUUCCUGAAGCGAAUUGGACUUUUCCAAGACGCAGACCAUGGCCGCGACUCUUGUUUUUAUUUCCUGUGGAUUUUGUUCAUUAACUAUGAACUAAAUUCCUUUUUCUAGUCAAGGAGCAACGGAUGCUUUGGGUCGCCUAAAAUUGUGAGAUCGAUUUAAUUUAAUCUUUUUUAUUUAUUUAUUGGUAUUCGCAUAUUCCUUGAUUGCUAUGCUUAUGGUUAUUUAAUUAAUUGACUGUCUAGGAUCCAGAUAAUUAGUUGAUUGGGUAAUCUAUUGUCAAUUAGGGCAUUAAAUCCGUAAUUGUUUAAUUGCUCUAAAAUAGUGACAACUGGCACGAUUGAGUUUGUGUCAGGGGAAUACGCGGGCUAAUCUAAAAUAACCCUGGUAGUGCGUUAUUUGGUUAGAAUAGGGCUCCUCUAAUACGUAAGGCAAUUGGGGAAUUAAAUUCUACGGGCGUACCUAGGAUUAUUUCUCAAUUAGAGCAGUGAUUAACGGGCGUACCUUGAUCACCGACACAGUAAGGAGGGGUUGACUGCCAUUGCUUGUUUGGUAGUUAUAACCUGUUUAUUAGUAAAUAAUUAGAAUUGCCUUUGCUUAUCGAUGAUCAAUUAGGUGAACCAUUGCUGAAGUUAUUUCUUGGCUAGAUUCUUAAUUAUCAUUCAUUUGAUUUUAGUAAUUUGUUAUUUAAUUUUUAGUAGUUUCUUAGAUUUUAUUUGAAUUUAUUUGAUUGUCACUUUCUGCACAAAAACACCCCCUUGUCACCGUGAACUUGAAAAGAAACAAUUACUCCCAAUCCCUGUGGAUUCGACCCUGCUCACCACUAUCUACAGAAAUUAUUUUUAGUUUGAGCAGGUAUUUAUUAUUGCACAGGCUGACGACCUGUCAAUUUUUGGCGCCGUUGCCGGGAACUGGCGUUAUUAUUUGUUUCUUUUUAAAUUCAUUUUUUGUCCUAAUCUUCUGGUUUUCUUCUAGUGUAUGCCUCGAUCUUCUCGUACAGGUGAUUUGAUUUUUGACCCUGAGGUAGAGAAGACCGCGCGUAGAACGAGAAAUGAAACCAGACAGUUCAGAGAGGAGCACUCCAGUGCUACAUCUUAGAGACCUGAGUCAGGAGUUGAACCAACAGAUUCAUUUGGUGACACUUCGAGUGACUCGGAGCAGGAAGAAAUUCCCAUGGCUAAUGCACGAACAUUAAGGGAGUUGACUGCCCCUAAUUUAAAUCAGCAGCCUUUGUGCAUUACUUUCCCGAGUUUGAGUAAAAACACUUCAUUUGAGUUAAAAUCUGGUCUGAUUUCUCUUUUACCCUCUUUUCAUGGUUUACCAGGUGAGGAGCCGUAUAAGCAUUUGCAGGAGUUUGAUGUCGUGUGCAACAGUAUGAAACCCCCGGGCAUUACAGAAGAGCAGUGAUUAACGAGCGUACCUUGAUCACCGACACAGUAAGGAGUGGUUGACUGUCAUCGCUUGUUUGGCAGUUAUAACCUAUUUAUCAGUAAAUGAUUGGAAUUGGCUUGCAUCAAUGAUCAAUUAGGUGAACCAUUGCUGAAGUUACUUCUUGGCUAGCUCAUUAAUUAAUAUUAUCUUGGUUUUAGUGAAUUGCCAUCUGAUUUUUAGUUGCCUACUUUAUUUUACUUUUAAUUAUUUUCUUGUUUUAAUUGAUUUGGAUCUUUACUUAUUGUUGCUUUAAGUUCAGGGGAUUGUUAUUUAAUUUCUAGUUAGUUAGUUAUUUUUAUUUUCUUACUUGAAUUUAUUUGACUGUCAUCGUUCCUAUAAAAUCACCCCCUGUGUUACUUUGGAUUUCUUAAGAAACAAAUAUACCCAAUCCCUGUGGAUACGACCCUACUUGUCCUGUCUGCAAAUUCAUAAUUCCUUGCGAAAAUAAAUAACCAUUCCAUUCGGGUAUAUCGGAUCAAGCAAACUCUUCGGGAACAGGGUGAAUCAAGUAACCCAUUGCACACCUAGAGUCCCUGCUCCAGUACUUGGAAUUGGGUUUGGUCAUUUUAACUGGCAAUUAGGUUUAAUUUUAUUAUUGUGCAGGUUUCGACAACCUGUCAAUUUUUGGCGCCGUUGCCGGGGACUGGUGUCAGAUUAAUUUGUUUCCUUUUGAGUUCAUUUUGUUUUCAUUUUUUAUUUAUUUAUUUUUUCCUCUUAUUUUUUUUUGAUAUAGUUUAUGGCUUCUAACACUCCGUAUUUUGGUGAUGUAUUGGAUUUUAUUUCCGGGCAAGGCGAUGAGAUUUGUUUUUUUCCUGAGUUUGCAUAUGCAGAGGCACUAAAAUCUAUUAGAAAAAGAAUGGCUGCUGCAACCUGUAAAAUUUGUUAUGCCAGGGAUCAUUCAACCGGUAUGUGCCCCGAAUAUCAGGAUAAUCUGAGUGUCCCACUCAAAAAUUAUGGAGAUUUUUCACCCUGGUCUCAAACGUGGUAUAACCCUAAUCCAAACGGGUAUGAUCAAGGAUGGUGGGAUAACUCCAGUUAUGAUUAUACAACAGGGCCAAUGGAUUUUCAACAGCAAGAGUCUCAACAACCAUCGUCCAUGUCAGGUAUGUCUUUUCAGGAAUUGGGUGAAUUAUUUAUUAAUACAUAUAAAUUUCAACAGGAGACACAAAUGAGGAAUGAGAUGACGAAAGAUGCAACGAGUUAUCUGGCAGAUCAACUAUGUCUAUUGACAUCCAGAAUGAAUCAAUUGGCUUCUCAAAUGGAAGAAUUGCCCUCGAAAACCAUUGUUGAUCUAGAAGAAAAUGAGAGUGCAAUUUGCUUGACUAGUGAUGAGGAGAUGCAAGAGUGUCAAAAUGAGAAAUCUACAGAUGCAGUUGAAAAAGAAGCUGCAAAAGAAGAAAUGGAACCCCAACCGCAACCCAUUCAAGUGAAAGAAUCCAGUGAACAAUCUCCAAAGGAGGUGACAUCUCCUCCACUCCUUCAUCAAUAUUCUCCUGACUCUUACUCUUCAAUUCCUGUUAACGAAAUUGACUUUAUUAUACCAGACAAUUUUGAAUUUCAUGACAGGAAUAAAUUAAGAGUGGCGAUGGCGAGAUAUCUUGAAGCAAUAAAUGCAAGUGAGGGAGGAGUGAAUGGAGAAUGCAAAUUAUCAUCGACUCGUUUGGCGCCAUUCACUAGUCCAUGGAAGCCCAUAGCUCGUGUGCUCAAGGAUUAUUCUAUUUACGAGGGUUAUCAGGACUAUAUAGAGGAUGAAGCAGUAAGACGAGCCACAAGAUUUUAUCCUCCAUGAGCAAAACAUGAUAAUGUCUAGCCAAAGACAUUAAAGAAAGGCGCUCCUUGGGAGGCAACCCAAUUGUUCCUUUUAAUUGUUUGUUCAUUUUCGUGUGGUAGUUUAGAUGUGCUCUCCUUGAAUUCGACUGAUUUUGGGUUUCAGUUUUCGUUUUUGCUGAUUUAUAGGUGCCCUUCAGUCAUGACGCGCCCGCGUGAUGACGUGCAUGAAGCUCCCGAUCAGAAACUUCUGGGAGCUCUCUUGCCUUCAUGACGUGCCCGCGUCAUGUUCGCGGGAAAGGUAAGUAUUCAAAAAACUCAAGAACGAUUAUUGAUUUUCUGUUAAUCUCUACUUUUGGAUUUCAAAAAUAAAUUUUGUCCAUAAAAAAAAAAAGAAGUUAUAUAUAUAUAUAAAAAAAAGGGGAGAGUCUUCCCAUAUAAAAAAAAAAAUCUUCUAAAAAGAGAAAAAAAUAAAAUGAAAAAAAAACUAUUUCCUUUUUCUUUUUCUUUUUCUUUCUUCCCUCUUCUUUCUUUUCUUUCUUUUUCUUUCUUUCUUCUCCUCUGUUUUUCUCUACGUCGCACGCCGCUCGCACCCUGCUCGCACGCCGCCGCAGCUGUUGAAGAUCCCACUGCGCGCCGCCAGCGCAGCCACCUGCCGCUGCCACGCGAGCCUCCAGCAGCCACCACCAGCUCGAUUUCACCGCAGCAGCGCCGCCCAUCUCCCUCGCGCCGCCACCAUCUUCACCGCGAGCUACCAUCGCGCGCCAUCGCAAGCUGCUGCCCUCUGCGCAGCCACUGCCGCUUCAACGCACGAGGCGCGCCCCUCCCAUCUCUCUCUCUCUCUUUGCGAGACCGUGGCCAAGCAACCCACGCCGCCUUCACUCCAGCUUGUUCGCCGCUGAAGCUCGAUCCGCCGCCCACUGCGCAGCUUCCUUCCAUCUCCCUCUAGCUCUGCUGAGCUCCGCUGUCCCCAGCUCACCCCCACUGCACGCCUCUUUAUGUUGCUGCCCCCGCUACUGUCCGCCGACCACCAGCCAUAGCCUCUCGCUCGCAGCCACCACAGCUCCGUGCUUAUCUCACACGCUCUCACCUCACGUCCCCCUCUUUCGCACAACGUGGUGGUACCUCCUUUCCUUAACACUCGCUUGUUUAUUUGGAAUGUCUGUUGCUGGGUUUGAUGUUUGGAAUCAAUUGAGCUAUCUGUUGAGACUUUGAGUUGAUCAAUCCUAUUUUUAUUUGUUGAAUUGGGAGCCUGUGCUGCUUGAUUUGCUUGUUGAGGGUAGUAGAAUUUCGUUUAAUUAUUGGGGACAUCAUAGUGAUUGGUUAAUAUUGCUAUUUUGGGACCAUUGUUUGUGACCUCAGUGGCCGGGGUUCCCAACUGGUGGAUUAGUACAUACUUGGGGCUAUUGCUUUACUACUGCUUUGAUCUGCUAUAGCAUUUGUUGAAAUUUCUGGGGAUAUUUGUUGAAAUUUUAGUUGGACCGAGUUUACUUUUGACUGUGAGUUGGAGUUCUCAUUACUUUGGGCCAGCCGUUGGAAUUGUUUCAUCAACUCGGUGGGUAUUUUGACUCCACUAGAUUAAUUCUACUCUACUGGCUGACUGCUUGGAAGCUGGGGGUUUGAGAUUCAGUUGUUAAUGUCAGAGUUUUCCACUACUAUUGCUUGACUUGUUCACUUCUUGAGGCCCACUGUUGGGGGCAUUUGUUGAGUCUUUAAGUGCUAUUAUUGGAAUAUUUUAUCUGGAACUUGUUAACUCUAGUUGGUUGGAUAUUUGAUCAAUUGCCAAGACUGUGUGACUGUGUUGCUAUUGCUAAUUUUCAACACUUCUAUUGCUGAAUUUAGCAUAUUAUUGGGGCAGUUGUUAUAGUUUGACUGGUGGAGGCAUUUGUUGAAAUUUUAGAAUGCAUUUGUUGAGACUAUGGAUGGCCCGAGUUUGCUUGUUGACUGACUGAUUUGGGUAGCCCCUAUGCUUAUUGACGUGACCUUGCUAGUUUCUAGUGUUGAUAAUAAUUGCUGGUUGUUAGUUUUGGAGUGCAACUGUUGCUUUGUUGACCAUAUUUGGGCUUGGGUGGCCCGUGUUUGCUUUUAAUUGUUGAGUUGGGGAACACUGGUGACUAUGAAUGUGCGUUGGUGAUUGCUAUCUUUGUUGGAUAUUCUGUCUUUUGUUGUUUGGGGUGAUAAUUGGCGUCAAUGGUGAGUGGCGCCACUUACAAGCACAGGUUCACAACGUAGAUGAACGAAUGACGAACAUCACCCGCCAAGUGGCAAGGAUGUCUCAGAACUCGGCUUCCCUCCAUUGUUCCCUCCUAUCCUUUCGCCACUCGUGAGGGAAGUUUCGUUGCCCUCUUCACUUUAAUUGCUUUAAUCCCUCCAUUGAGAACAAUGUAGGAUCUAGGUGUGGGGGGGACAGCUAUACUAGUUCUUUAUUUUUAGUUUGUUAUUUGUCCAUCUCUCGUUCAUUUUUUCUUCUUUUUAGUGAUUGGCUCGUAAGUGCAUGCCAAGGUUUGAUGUUGGAUUAUUACCUCUAUUUCUACUUUUGCCAAGUUUUAGUAAUAAAGGGGUACCAAGUUAAUGUGGUAAUCCAAAAACAUCUCUUGGGUGAAUAUCAAUGAUUGUUUUACUCUUAUAAUUUUUGGUUAACUUUCCUAGGUAUAGGGAAUGAUUAUUGGCACUUUCAUGUGAAUUGGUCCGGUUAUUAACUUUAGUUCUCCAUGUUUGAAAAUGAGGUUAGCUGAUGCAAGUUUUCUUUUGGUUCUUGUGUUAUAUUGAGUUUUUGUGAUUUUUAGUUAUGAAUAAACUUGACUGUACUCCGCUAUUAGUUACUACUGAGUAACCGGGGAUCUGCACCUACAAGUGUUGAUUCUCGCGUCAAAAGGUAGUAGUUCCUAUGAGUACGUGGUCACGUGGCGAUAGAAGCUGAGUAACCGGGCUCCUUCAUCUGGCCAAUGUUGGAGUUCGAGUCAAAAGGCUCAAAUGGCUAGCGACCCAGUCUUUUGUUACUAUUGAAAGAAAAAAAAAAAGAAUAAUAAAAAAAAAGAGAGAAAAGUAGAAAAAAUGUGAAAAAAAAGUGAAGGUUGUGUUAGUGUGUAAUAAAAGUCAGCUUGCCGAAUUAUGGAUUUAAUGUUGAGAUUUUGAUUAAUAGUUGGACCAUUUGCUGAUAAAUGUUAUGCGACAUUCCUUUUUCUUAGAUUAGUUAAUCUGAAAUUGGAAGAGUUUAUGGUUUAGAAGCUAACCGGAGUGAUGUUUCUUGGACUUGACCAUUGAUGCUUGAAUAUUAUUUUUUCUUGGUAUCUUGGCAAUUUGUUGGAUAGAGCAAUAGCCACUAUCAAAUAUUGGUGUUUGUUUCUUGCUCUCAUGCUUGAGGACAAGCAUGGUUUAGGUGUGGGGGGAAUUGAUAGGUUGUAAUUUUAUCAUUUAUUUUAUAAUUAAUUUCCCCUAUUACUUAACCCAAUGUGAAUUAAUUAUUAGAUUCUACUCACUUUUCGUAAUUUGCAUUUAUUUCAGGGAGUAGAAUAAAAAUGUCACAAUCAAGGCCAAUUUGACGGUCAUCGGGAAAGAGUUCAAAUAGCAGGCAAUCAAGGGCAUUCUUGGAACAAGGAGAUGCAUGACCUUUUUGGUAAUUUUGACCGAAGACAGCAACUAGAAAAAGGGAAAAGAAAGCAAACCUGAGGGUCUUCUUUUUCUCGGGUGCGGCGGACGCCGCACAGGAGGAGUAGCAAUUAGAAUAGGAAUUAAGAUUGCAGGAGGAGAGCACUAUCCUCUGGUCUUCUUUAGUUUUUUCGUCUUGUAGUAUAGCUUUGAGCUUUGACUUUUCUUUUGGUUGGUAGUAGUUCCUUUCCCCUGCGUAUGUCAGGAAGAAUUAGUAACAAGCAAUCACCUUUUGUAGCCUCGUUUUCCUUUCCUGAAGCGAAUUGGACUUUUCCAAGACGCAGACCAUGGCCGCGACUCUUGUUUUUAUUUCCUGUGGAUUUUGUUCAUUAACUAUGAACUAAAUUCCUUUUUCUAGUCAAGGAGCAACGGAUGCUUUGGGUCGCCUAAAAUUGUGAGAUCGAUUUAAUUUAAUCUUUUUCUUUUAUUUAUUGGUAUUCGCAUAUUCCUUGAUUGCUAUGCUUAUGGUUAUUUAAUUAAUUGACUGUCUAGGAUCCAGAUAAUUAGUUGAUUGGGUAAUCUAUUGUCAAUUAGGGCAUUAAAUCCGUAAUUGUUUAAUUGCUCUAAAAUAGUGACAACUGGCACGAUUGAGUUUGUGUCAGGGGAAUACGCGGGCUAAUCUAAAAUAACCCUGGUAGUGCGUUAUUUGGUUAGAAUAGGGCUCCUCUAAUACGUAAGGCAAUUGGGGAAUUAAAUUCUACGGGCGUAUCUAAGAUUAUUUCUCAAUUAGAGCAGUGAUUAACGGGCGUACCUUGAUCACCGACACAGUAAGGAGGGGUUGACUGCCAUUGCUUGUUUGGUAGUUAUAACCUGUUUAUUAGUAAAUAAUUAGAAUUGCCUUUGCUUAUCGAUGAUCAAUUAGGUGAACCAUUGCUGAAGUUAUUUCUUGGCUAGAUUCUUAAUUAUCAUUCAUUUGAUUUUAGUAAUUUGUUAUUUAAUUUUUAGUAGUUUCUUAGAUUUUAUUUGAAUUUAUUUGAUUGUCACUUUCUGCACAAAAACACCCCCUUGUCACCGUGAACUUGAAAAGAAACAAUUACUCCCAGUCCCUGUGGAUUCGACCCUGCUCACCACUAUCUACAGAAAUUAUUUUUAGUUUGAGCAGAUAUUUAUUAUUGCACAGGCUGACGACCUGUCAUAGUAGAACAACUAGAAACUGGUUUUCCACUUCUCAAUGCUGCUCUGCACAUAGUAUCACCACAACUCUACACAAUCUUCUUCCCGUUUUGAAUAAAGUAGGGCUCUCAACCACUAUCUCCAACAUAAAUCAGACCAGUAAAUCCAUUUUCCUUUUCCUGGUCCAAGAACUUCCACAAGAAAAAGACUUCAGGCCUCCAAAUGUGUAUUUAUAUGCUCUAUGGUGAACAAGUUCCUGCUACAUGACAAUUAAAGACGAAAUUUGCCAUCCUAAACGCAGCAAUUGUUUAACACCAAAACACAUGCAAUUUGCUGUAACAGAGUGGACAACUAUGUUAGUUCUUUAAUCAUCUAAAAUCAGGAUAAAGGGACACUUCUAAAGAGUUGGAUACUGGUACUUAGGUAUGAUGGACAUUCUAGGAAAUAUACAAAUUAUGUACAUCGAUUGUUGUUUACUUGUUAACGAACAGGGCCAUUUUGCCUUGGGAGCUUUUCAGAUUUCAUUUAUACAAGGGAAAUUCAGAAUUUUAGAUAGGUCUUCUGUCUCUCUAACAUGAAAGUCCUAAAGUUUUCCACUUCACUUCUCUCCUCCCCCUUCACCAUCAACAUCCACUGACAAAAAAGAAAGUACCCAAAAAAUUGUUGAAGUGCCCCAAAUGGAUCCCAUACCAGUACCAGUGUCAAGUUAUGUCGACACGGGCACACUGGGGUAAAACAAAAAGCUGGAGUAACAUAGGUGGAAGGGUGAUUUUCAGGUAGCUAAUCUGUUAGUGUCACCAGUUUGACAAGCAUGGUGCAGCUUAUACCCAUUAUGGCGACAAUGGCUUUCACCCUGACAAAAUUAUAAAUAACUCGAUGACCAUGUCUUGGAAAAUGUUUUGCAUUGCUUGGGCCUCCAAGAAAGAUAGAUGGUGAGAGUGAUAGCUGGAAAUUUCAAUCACAUAAUAAAGCUCACUUCUCUCUUCCUUUCUAUCUGGAUCGGAAGAAUCAAAUCCCUACGCCACGGAACUGGUCAUGAAAAAAUGAAUGUAUAUUAGGAACCACAUAUACCCCUCAUCUCAACACACAUGAUUUAUUUCUACAGCCAAGCCCCACAAAAACUUUGGUUUUAAGAGGACAGAAAGCAAACUCCUACAAAAAAAGGUUUCAAGAUUAUAAUCGUGUUUGAAGUUACUGAAGACAAGAGUGACGAAUCCAGCUAAAGCUUUUCUGAAUAAUGCCAUCAGCGAAACCUCUUCAAACAGGCUUGAGUAUCAUUCUUCAACGCAAUUAUAGCUACCAAACCAGUAACACGCCAACUUGCACUCACAGCAGUUUUGUUACCAGCAAGUAGCCAGUAGGGUUUCAGACUUCAAUAACAGUACAAGAGCUGCUAAAACACUAUGCAAUGAAAGUAGCUAAUAAGCAACUGUUAAGAAUUGAACUUUGUUCCAACCUCGAAAGGAAAAGAUAUCAGAAAUUAUACUAGUCAACAACUGUUAUUUGCCUUUAUCUCUCUCUGCCCCUAACUCAAGCAUACUUCCCAUUCAACUGAAGUUCAAACUCAAUAAAAGCCCAGAUUCCAAGGACUACAGCUUAUUGUUAAAUGUGAGUAUUAUCCUCAGCUAUCUUUUCUCUGGAAAAGCUGUUUAAUCAGAUUCGUUCCCAGCUGGGGAUACAAUGUAUCUCUACAUGCCCCUUGGAAGAGAACUUUUGGCUACAAACCUCAAUAGGCCACAACUGUUUUGCAGUUUAGCUCCACUACAUGGAUAAUUUCCUAUUUCUUUUUUUUUCAAGUCCUUUUGCCCAGUAUCAAGUGAAAAAUGAGGCUCAUACAAGAAAUGAAAGCUGUAACUGGCCAAAUCCCAUGGUUUUUUCUUCAUGCGAGCAGUUGCACUUAUAGCCGGUUUGUCACACAUCACAUAGUCUACUCACUUAAUAUAACUAAAAAGUAGUCACGAAACACAACUGCUCUUAAUAAAAAAGAAGACAUCCAUUUAGCUUGAUGAUUUCAUAAGAGGUUCAGAUUGAUGCUUUGACAGAAUUUGGUAAACAUCAGGUACAAAUGAAAAACCCUAGACAGAAACCUGAUGUAGUGCAGGUGAACUAAGUGGCUAAAUGUACAAAGGCACUACAUUUGCAAUCUUUUCCAUUACAACAGAAUGAUUAGCUUCAAUUACAAAAUUAUCAAAAUUUGUUCAGUUGACAACAGAAAACUAAUCAGCCCACUAUAGUUAGCACAUCUAGAAACAACUUUGGGAGUUAGACGUAAUAUCAAUGAACAUUCAAAGGUAUCAAAAAGCUAAACACAGAUCCACACAAAGCAAAGGAACUAAAAAGUUCUCUCACUGAGUAUGUCUGAGCUGCAACAGAGCAUAUACAUCCUAAAACAAGUUCAUAUACAUUGUCUCUAAAGUGGUACUAUUCGUUGCCUACCAACCGACUAAAGAUUGCAAAACUACGGCAUCCUGCAAUUAACUUUAUGCCAAUUAUUUUGUGGUUUAGGAACUAUUUAACUUCAUCCAUUGAAUUGAACAGGAAAGCUCUCAGUUUUAAAAAAGGAUUACUUUGAUUCAGAUUUUCAGGGCAGCUAUGCAUAAGUAAAUUCUAAGACCAAUAGACCUACACAUGAUCGUCUCCAACUAUGGACUCAUCUCCUAUAAACUAAAUCAUCUUGAAUAAAACAUCUAACUAGUGAAAACUGUGAAAUAUCUAAUCUAAGCACCACAUGUUGCCCUUUAACCGAUAAUCAACAAACUUCUUGGUUGUCUCUUGACUAGGUCCCCCAAUGUGCCGAAUCCUUCAUUUCAACCAAAAAGAGGACCUUGAGUGUCCAACUUAUUUUGGGUGACAAUAACCAUGGGGAGGCAGGCACCAGUGCCUUUUGGCCCAUCCUCCUCCCCAACUCUGCUGCAGGACCCAACCUAAAUCUGAAAAACAGCCAGUGCCCCAGGACAGCACUCUGAUGCAGAAUUCUGUACCUCAAAUUAUCAAAUAAAACCUACAACAUUAAACAGAAACCAAAGCUUCCCUGACAUAAGUGAGAAAAAUCCACAAGUGCAAGAGAUAAUAUUUCAUGCAUUAUGGAAUCAAUAUUUUCUUUCCAGUCAAAAUAUUUCGCAGAGAAAACCUAUUGCUUGAAAAACAAACUUUUGCGAAAAAAUCUACAAGCACAAUGUUGGAAAUAAUGCGUUCAACGCAUAUGAAUCUCAACAUCCACAGACAGACAUUGAAAGAACCCAAACACACAAGGAGAAUUACCAAUGCAAAUCAACAAAACUGAAGCAAAACUCCAACCAACAAAAGUGAGGUACAAAAGAAGGAUAUAAGCUUUAUCACAAAGAACCACAUAAAUGAGCAAUGCAACACUCUUAACAGAUACUGAAAUUCAGUAUGAAACUCAUAAACUUGAAUUAAACCACAUUCGAUUGGAGAAAACGUAAAUGACCACUUACAAAACUAAAACAAGAAAAAUCCUUGAUUAAUACUCCCUCCGUUCCAUUGACACAGUCAUAUUUUCCUUUUUAGUUGUCCCAAAAUAUUUAUAACUUACAUAAAUUGGCUAACACAUUUGCAUUCAAUUCGUCCAUUUACCGUUCAAACACUCCCUAAAAGUCCAAUGCAUGUGUCUUUUCAUGAGCCCACAGAUUAUUACCAACGAAACUAAGACAACUUCUUUUGUAGUACGCGGUAGUUGGCUUUAAGAAACUAAAGCCAUUAAGUGUUCUGAUGCACGCGCUAGUUGGCAAUCACAUCUGCGAUUGGACAAACAUCUUGGCUCCACAAUUCUUUAUGUCUUAGUACAACACUUAAAGCUCUUCAUGGGGGUGAAACGAGAAACCACAGCAUCAAUUUUCAAAUUCUAUCCACUCCUCAUAAAAAUUACAAUUCCCGAAGUGCAAUAAAUUUUUGGGAUGAAGCGAGUAAUUCUCAAUAGCAGACCAAAACUGUCAUUAAAUUGUCUAUUAUACGAGUCAUUAGCUCAUAAAUUGCAAGCACUUCAACCAAAAAUUACAUUUCUAUGCCAAAAACCCCAUUCAGAGAUAACCUUAAGCUGUCAAAACAUAGAGAUUAUAAAUCCUAAAGACUGUCAAUUAAAAAAAAACUAAAGCAAACCCACUUAACAAAACCUAUCCAACAGUCACCCAAGAAAAAAAGUUUUAUUUACCUUCCCUAAGAUUAAACCAAAUAAAACGUGAAACCCAGAAAAAUGUCAAAAAGCCUCCAAAAAAUCCCAGGUAAAAUCCAAAAUAGAACUCAAAGAAAAAACUAAAAAAUAAUUACCUUUAGAUGAAGCAUUGGCAGUUUGAGGAAUAGGCUGCGCCGCUGGGGAGCCUUGUUUUUGUUGGGCUUCGGCUUCCUGGAUCUUCUGCAUCCGUUCCAUGACAAGCUCGUACUCGCACUUCUUACCUGCUUGAUUGAUUAACAAAUUGAUAAGACCGAAACAAGUAAUCUAUGUGCAUAUGCCACUCAUAUGCUCUGCCUAAUCAAUUUUACAUGUAAACAAAAUUCACCGCUUGAGGUGAAGCAAAAAUCAAGAGUCGGCCUUGUUUGGAUUCCCAUUUCUUCCCAAAAAAUUUUACACUUUGCGGUAAUGCAUCUUUCAAUCACUUUUUUUACCUCAUAUCAUAUCGUUACAAUAUUUUUUUUCACAGAAACUCCAGAAAAUAGUAUCCAGACGGGCUAUUUGCGAUCUCAAAAGCAGCAGUCAAAAUGACUGCUACACUGCCCCACUCACAUCGGUUGAGCUGAAGGAACUACAAUUACACAGUCAAAAUGACUGAAGCUCUAAUAGAAAGGCCGCCAGAGUUGCUCCAAAUUAACCGGUCCAUAUCCGCUGCUAAUACAGCAAUGAUACUGAAAGAUGAAGUUGCAAUCUUGCAGCUGCUGCUGCUGCUGCUAGUCUUCUCAUUGAAAUUAAUGUCUUAGUAUCCACAGAAUUUUCUCAAGUACCCCACAGCUUUCUCUUCACAGACUCGACCACAAUUACCAUGGUCCCCCCAGCUCUAUAUUGGACUCUUUUCUCAUGGCAGCCGGCUGCCAACCCGGGUGAUAGACUGAUAAAUCCAAGAAUCUUUUUCUAUUUUGCUAACUUCCAAGAAAUAAUUUCAAGCAGGAAUUUGUCCCUUUCCUUACCUGCCUCCAAAAGAAAUUAUAGAAAUUGCUCUUUGGAGUAUGGGAGUAUAGUAUAGUUUGAAUCAGUCUAAAGACUUGACUUUUCCGACUUGGCAAGUCCACGCAGGAGUUUACAGUGACGGAGCCAUCCUCACUUCAUUUUCCAAGGACCAAUAAUUCCUCCCACCUCAUCCUGCAAAUCCUACACCAGCUUUAAACCGAUCAUCUCCAUCGAUGUAGGAGUAAUCUGCGUGUUUUGGGGUACCUUCUUAAUUUUGCUCCAAUGUUUACUCUUCUUGUAUACCUUUCCUUUCUCUUCAAUCUCUUGUUCAUCAUCACUUCCAGCGGUACUCCGCCUUACAGCCCCACAGAUUACAUCCUGAUCAUUUGCGGAUCAUCCUCAAACGCAAACUCUACCGAUGGCCGGAACUGGUACGGCGACGCCGGCUCAAAAUUCACCCCUAAAGACAUGGCGAAUAUAUCAUCAGCUGUCACAGCCCCCGAGCAAGGCCCUUCGGUACCUUAUUUAACUGCCCGUAUCAUUCGUUCUAAUUUCUCCUAUACCUUCCCUGUCUCCCCCGGCAAAAAGUUCGUCCGCCUUUACUUCUACCCGGCCUCCUACUCCAGCGACUUCAACGCAACUGAAUCUUUCUUCUCUGUCAUGGCUAAUAACUACACCCUUCUGAGCAACUUUAGCGCAUUUUUAACAGUUCCUGCCAGGGACAAUUCACCUGCCUACGUCGUUAAAGAAUUCAUCGUUAAUGUUCAGGCUAUGAAUCAAUUCCUCAACGUUACCUUUUUGCCCUCUACGCAGUCCUACGCGUUCAUUAAUGGAAUUGAAGUUGUUUCAACCCCGGACGGACUCUACAUGGGCAACUAUGAUUUGUCCAGUAAUUCCCUCAAAGACGUGGAUGAUCCCAACAAUCAGUUCGAGUUAAAUCAGAACGACACUGCCUUCGAAGCUCUUUACAGGCUUAACGUCGGAGGACAAGCUGUUUCUCCGUUAGAUGAUAGUGGGAUGUUCCGAGGGUGGGCUUCCGAUGACAACUUCAUCUGGGGCGCAGAUCCAGGGAAUCCAUUGAGCAAUAAUCAAAUUGCUGUCAAGUACACUCCGCAAACCCCAAAUUACACUGCACCAGCGAUAGUUUAUGCUACCGCAAGGGCGAUGGGCAACUUUAGCACCCGCUUCAACUUGAGCUGGAUGUUCUCUGUUGAUUCUGGAUUUGAUUAUCUCCUGAGGUUGCAUUUUUGCGAGAUUAACCCUGAUUUGAUUACACAAGAGAACCAACGGGUGUUCAGGAUAUUCAUCAGUAACAAAACAGCUGAGGAAGAGGCUGAUAUUAUAACUUGGACCGGCGGCCCCGGAAUCCCGGUUUUCAGAGACUACGUCGUGUUCGUUCCACACCCACCGGGUGGUCGGCCCAGCAAGCAAGGCUUGUUUCUUGCUCUGCACCCAAAUCUCGACGUCAAGCCGAAGUAUGCUGAUGCAAUCUUGAAUGGUUUAGAAUUAUUCAAAUUGAGCAACAGCGAUGGCAGUCUUGCCGGGACCAAUCCUGAUCCGGCGGCGGGUCCCAAUUCCCUGAUGCCAAACAGCAAGUCACCGAAAAAGGGGAGAGGUGUAAAAUCUCGGGUACUUUUUCCUAUCGUGGGAGGGGUGGUCGGAGGUGCUGCCUUGGUUUUGGUCAUCGGUUUCUUGAUUUCCCGGCGGCUAAGGAGACGGGUAAAAGAUUUUGACCAGAAAAGUGCUUCAAAGUCAUCCUGGGUCGAACUUUCAACCACGUCCAGGUCAUCAAAGGCAAAAAGUGCAUCAAGGUCUUCGUCACUGCCGCUGGAUCUUUGCCGAAGAUUUUCCCUGGAGGAGAUCAUCUUUGCUACGGCCAACUUCGAUGCUAAGUUUGUGAUCGGAACCGGAGGAUUCGGAAACGUGUACAAAGGGUACAUCGACAAUAGUCUAACCACAGUUGCUAUUAAGCGAUUAAAUCCUUCGUCAAGUCAAGGGGUCCGCGAAUUUCGAACCGAGAUCGAGAUGCUGUCGAAUCUAAGGCAUCUUCAUCUGGUAUCCCUGAUAGGUUACUGUGAUGAGAAGGGAGAGAUGAUCUUGGUUUAUGAUUACAUGGCCAAUGGCACCCUCCGCGACCACCUCUACAAAACAGAUAAUCCACCCCUCCCGUGGAAGCAACGGCUUCAGAUUUGCAUCGGCGCAGCCAGAGGGUUGCAUUAUCUCCACACCGGCGCCAAGCACAAUAUCAUCCACCGGGACGUCAAGUCAACCAACAUAUUACUGGACGAGAAAUGGGUGGCCAAGGUUUCUGAUUUCGGUCUGUCCAAGCUAGGCCCCAGCGGUGGAAUCCACAGCCAUGUCAGCACGCAGGUGAAGGGGAGUUUCGGCUACGUAGAUCCCGAGUAUUACAAGAGACAGCAGUUGACGGACAAGUCGGACGUGUACUCGUUCGGGGUGGUUUUGCUCGAAGUGCUGUGUGGGCGGGGAGCCAUUAUUCCCAACUUGCCCAAGGAGCAGGUGAAUUUGGCGGAGUGGGGCAAGAGGUAUUACGCUAAAGGGAUCAUCCAUCAAACUGUAGACCCUCACAUGAAGGGCGAGAUUGCUCCCGAGUGUUUGAGGAGUUUUGCUGAAACGGCGAUCAACUGUUUGAAAGAUCAGGGGAUUGAACGACCCGGAAUGAAUGAUGUAGUCUGGAGCCUCGAAUUCGCGUUGCAGCUUCAGGAGGCGGCUGAAAAUGAGAGUGGUCGACGUCCAUUUGCUUUCCGUAUGCAUGGGUUGGGAAGAGAUGAGCAAACUACGACUGAGGAUGACGAGGAUGUGUUCUCAGACUCGGGAGUUGAGAAAGAUUCUGCCGCCAUGAUGAAGAGCCGUAGUAUUACGACCGGGACAUUCACGGCCAGUAGUGACAUGUUAAAGUCUGAUAAUGUUUUCUCCGAGAUCAUGAAUCCCACCGGCAGGUGAGGAUUUUAAUCUACAGAUAAAACCUCCAAAAAUGUACGUGGGAUAUUCAUGUCUUAGGAGUCUAGCGUGCUAUGUCCUUGUGCUAUUUUUUUUUUUUUUUUGUCUGUAUUGGGCAACCUAUUUGUAAUGUCAAUAUAGUAUAUUUUUGGAAAUGUAAUAUUAAUUAAGGAAAGUAAAUAAAUAUUGGGAGUGUUUUUGAAAAUGUAAAAUCAAUUAAAAAAAGUAAAUAAAUACGAUAGAAGGUUAGUAAGAUUAGAUGGGAAAAGUAUUAAAUGCAAUGGAAGGUGAUAAUUCAUGCCUUAGGAGUCUAGCGUGCUAUGUCCUUGUGCAUUUUUUUUUGUGUAUUGUGCAACCAUUAAGAUAUGUUUGUGGUGUUAAAAUAUAUUUUUGAAAAUGUAAAAUUAAUUAAGGAAAGUAUAUAAAUAUGAGCGAGUAUUUUUGGAGAUGUAUGAUUAAUUAGGAAGAGUAAAUAAAUACAAGAAAUAAUUGGUCAGAUUGGAUGGGAAAAGUAUUAAAUGCAAGGGAAAGUAAUAACUAUUAGUAUGUGUAUAUAUGAUAGGUUAGGUGAAUUUUAAAUGUCUUAAUAAAAUAAAAGUACCUAAUGGAUAUGGGUACCCAUUAAAAAAAACCCUUUCUUAAAUAUUUUUUCUUGCGAAGUCAAUAAGUAUAAUAUGGUGCGGUUUUGAUCGCUUAGGAUUCGUUUGGUUCACGGACCAAAUAAGAUAGAAUGACUCAUGCUCGAAUUAUUAAUCCUGAAUUGAGUCAUUUUCAGAUAAAUAAUAUAAGUUAUCUAGUGUUUGAUUGGUUAUAAAUUGGAUAGGAUAUGUUGGGAAAUAAUCUUAUCCCGUGUUUGGUUGGAAAUUAGAUAAGAAAAGAUUACUAUUUUAAUGACCAAAGUACCCCUUAAUUUGUAGAAUUUCUUUUAAUAAAAUAAUUUAAUAUUUAAUAUAAUUUUAAUAAUUUUAAUAUUAAAAAUAAUUUAAUAAAAAAUUUCACAUUUAUAACUUUUAUUAAAAUAGAGUAGUUUGAAACUUUAGAAUUAUAAAGUAAAUCGUAAAUCACAGGUUUUAAGAUAUAAAAAAUUUGCAUUCACUCAAACUCAACCCAUUCGGGUUCUUAAAAAUAGAUUUUUGACCAAGUUUUUAACCUAAAUUUGAAAUUCAACUAAAUAAUGGGUUGAGCUUUGCUAAGUUAGGGUUAAAUCGAUUAAAACCUAACCCAUUUAAGAGUUUUAAAUGAGUUGAACUCAAUCUAAUACAGAAGAUUUUUCUUUGGACCGAGUUUGAGUUUAUUGAAAUCCUCAUUCAUAAAGGCCAAUUGAUAAGGUUAUAUAUUUAUAUAGAAUUUGGUUUAGAAAAUAAGCUUAGUAAGGAUUAUUUAGUCCAAGGGCAAUAUAGUCCUUCUAUUAUGAUGUUAGUAUGGCAAAUUAGUCAAAAAAUUUAAAUUAAUUAAUAGGGGUAAAUUAGUCAAAAUUUUUAAAAUAAUAAAUAGGAGCAAAUUAGUCAAAAAAUUUCAAUAUAGUUGGUAGGGGCUAAUUAGUCCAUUUAUUAUCAUAUUAUUAUGUGAGAGUAUGGUUAUAUAAUAGUUAGUAUGAAUUUGUAUCACUCAUAAGGGCAAAUUAGUCUAAUUAUAUUAUAUUGGUAGUAGGAGUAAAUUAGUCAAAAACUUUAAAAUUAAUUAGUUGGGGCAAAUUAGUCCAUUCGUUUUAUAUUAUCACGUGGGAGUUGGGUUAUAUAAUUAUAAGAGUAUAAAUUUAUAUUUUUUUUAAGAGUUAAUUAGUCUAAAAGUUGAUCAUCCUAUUUGUUAGUUAUCCCAGGAUAACUAAUAUCACCUCCCCCUAUUUGAUUAUUUUAUCCCAUAAAUAGGGGAUUAAUUCAGUUAAGUAAGAUGUGUCAUCCUAUAUAUAAAAUGUAAUCAAAUAUGAGAUAACACAGGAUAAUUAAUCCAAUCCUGUGUCAUCCUAUGAACCAAACAAGUCCUCAGUACUUUGAUAACUUCAAGGACUCUGGUCGAAAUUUAUAUUUGGACACAAUUGACCCCAUAAAAAUAAAUCUAUACUGGAUGCAAAUGUGCCCUUAGAAUUUGUAAAAUUGUGUGACUCUGCCAUCAUAGGAAAAUAUUGAUAAGAUGGGUAACAUUGGAACAAAUUUUGAGUUCUCAAGGGAAAAAAAUAACACUUCAGGUUAUUAAUAGACAUGAAAUGAUAAUUUGGAUUGCAUUUUUCAGAAUUUUUUGUAGAAAAAUUACUAUUUCGAUUUGAUAUAUAUGAAGUAAAAAGAUGAUUGGAAAAUGUGUUAAAAAAACGUAGCAAUUUUUCUUUCCAAAAAUUGCUUUCCAAACAAGACCUAAAGGCAUUUAUUGAAGGAAAAAUUUCACCAACAAUUUUGUGUAGUGAUUGGAUAAUUGACAUAUUUAGAAGAAGCAAUCCUACAAAUACGCAAACAAUUAUCCAUACAUACAGUGUACAUAUAAGGAGAGAACAGGGUUGGUGUAAAUUUUUUCUAUUACUUUUUGUAAUCCUAUUUUAUCCUUCAAAUAAAGGGAAAAAUGGUAUUACCAUCUCCCAAAAAUAAACACACACACACACACACACACAUAUAUCUCCCAUUUUUUAAGUCUAACAAAACUUCUAAUAUGGUAAUAAUGGCCCAUAACAUUUUUAUCGAAAAAAGAAAUAGAAAAACAAAUUAUUUCCAUUCAUAUGUCUAAAAUAAAUCCUCAAUAACUACCAAAAACUUUAUUAACUUUCUGUCUAAAAAUUUACUUAUUUUAAAUUUGUACACACAUAGAAUGUGCCCGUGUCAUUAGUUAAUAUAAUACUUUGCACGAGGAUAUGCAUGUUUUCAGUUGAAAUGUCAUAAAGGAAUUGCUAUUGAGUAGGGAUAUUAAUUAGUUAUUUGUGAUUUAAGAUACACAAAUUGCUAUUGUUGUAUGAGUUUUUUGCCAAAAUAACACUUUUGCUAAAAAAUAUUGCCAAAUAUGAUUCACUUUCAAAUUUUAUUACCAUAAUGACAUUAUUGUUGCCAUCUAGUUAUCCUGAUUGUCAUGUAGGAUAACAAGAAAGGAAAGUUCUAAUCCAGUUUAUGGUUUCCAACAUGAACUAAAAUUUUAAAAUUUUUUAUUAUAGCAGCAUAAGAAGAUUGCAUAACUUUUAUAAUUUCCUUAUAAUUACCUAAAAUAAAUUCUACCAUUAUUGACCUUGCUAUUAUUGGUUUCUGAAUUUUUUUAAACGUAUCAAAUCUAUUGCAUAUAUUUUUUUCAAAAAAUAAAUUUUAAAAAUACAAAAAUUGCAACGAAAAUUGUAAGCAAUUACAAAAACUUUAAUGUUAUCAUAUUUGUUUUCCUUCCUCCUCUUUGAAAAGACAAGAGAAUAAUCUUCAUCUGCCUUAAGAUUAUUGACUCACGAAACAUAUUUUUUAGAUACUGUUAAUAUAAAGAUUGGCUUCUUAGAUUAUGUUUGACAAGGGAAAGAUAACGAAAGAAAAAAAUGUGGGAAGGUUUAGAGAGAAAAUAUUAGAUGAGAAAGAGAAAUGGAGGACGUUUUUAUCUUCAUCCUGACACAUAUGCAGCCUAAGUGGCAAAAAAGGAACACAAAGGUAAUAAAUUUUAAAAUUAGGUUACUUUGGGUAUAUAUUUUGGAAGAAGAGUUAUUUUGGCAAUAAACUCAUUAUUGUAUCCACUAUUCUAUUUAUUUCUUUGGCUUUGUUUGAUAACUCAUUUCUACACUGAAAUUUAAUAGAUGAUCUUAACAUAGUCAAAUGUGUUUUAUAACCAAAAAAUAGAACAUUUAAAAUAAUUAAGUGGCUCUAAAUUAUCUAGACAAAACUUACUCCAAAAUAUAAGUGAUAAAUUGUUCAUUUAUUACUUAAUGCAGAAUACGUUUACAUGUUAGGAUUUCAGUACUGAACAAAUCAAUAAUUUAAUGGAUUCAAAUCUCAAAACUUUAGAUUUCAAAUUUUAGAUUUUAUUUUUAUCAAAUGCACCGUGUCAAUUUUCAAUAUUUUCUUCAGUUAUUGAUUUUUUUUAAUGUGUUCAUAAAGGCGGGGUCUCUAGAGAAGAAAGUGUGCCACCCAACAUGGCAUGGCUGAUCCAUCACUUUCUUAUUUGGGGUCCUCAUCAGAUGAAUCUAAUUCUUUCUCUGAGUGAUAAAAAUUUGUUUGAAGAGUUUUUCCUAACCUUUGAAACUUUGAUUUUUAGUUUCCUUUCAAUUCUAACAUUAGUUAUGAUAAUAACCCACAUAUGUUCUCUUGAAAAACCUUUUCUUUUUAAAAGUUCCAAGUCAGAGAAAAUAAAAAAAAUCAAUUUGAAGAAAAGGAAGAUGACAGCCACCUAAAUAUGGUGGAGCUCUGAUUAAAGGUUUCUAUCCGAAAGGGAGACCUAAAGUAUUCUACUCUGUCCCAACUCCCAACUACAGCCAUAGGUCAUCAUCUAAAGUACGCAGAAGUAGCCACUGGGCCUUUGGCCCGGUAGUCACCACCAAGCCUUUAAAAAGUCUUGGUAAUCCUUGCCUCCCACAAAAAAUUGCCACAAUAUAUAAUAGUCUUAAUUGAUCAUCUUCGAUGCAGUUUCUAUUUAUAUCGAGUCUUUCUUCCCCUCCUCUUAGAUUAGAUUAUAAGAAUUCUAUCGUUAAAAAAAAAAGUACGCAAAAGUAGCCCUAGAACUAGGGACAAAGGAAAAAGUUAUCCUGACAAGAGAUAGGGAAGGAUGGAGAAAUAUCAUUCAUGAAUAUUAUGAAUAUGUUUUUUUUAAAAUUAUACCACAUUUAUACCAAUUUUAACUCUUAUUUUUGUGUAUGAGGUGUUAAAUUUAUCAAAAUUUUAUGAAUUAACUUUUUAUACACUCACAACGUAAGGGUAGUGUUUUUUUUUUUAACACUAACGGCUUUGAAUGUAUGCCGCAUAUGCGCAUAAUUUGAAUUUAAAAUCUAAAUUCAUAUUAUGUAAUAUGAUCUAAACAUGAUAGUGUAAAAAAAAUUAUACAUUGACAAUAUAUAAAAGAAGUUUUCCAAAUUUUAUUACCUUUUUACUUUUGUAUGUGCAUCUACAAAGUUAGGCUACAUGUUGCUGUCAUUUUAUAAAUAACUAAGAGGAUAAGUCAUUGUCCUUCUUGAAAUUUUAAAAUUUUUUUUCAAAAAUUGAUGUAUAAUUUGUAAAGAAUACGUCAAAAAUUUAUUACGUGUUUCAUAAAAUUAAUUAAUUAAAAAAUAUGAGUAUUUUUCAAAAUAUUCACUACAUUGAUUCAUUUACUUGGUUUGGCAUAUGCUCUGUUUAUAGGUUCCAGACAUUCACAACGGGGUCAUUCAGAAACAUGGCGAGACACAACUAUGGCACAAGAUUUUGAGUUUGGUAGCCAAAAACCAGUCCAUGAGAUUUGCAUUAUAAACACAUAACUCAGUAAUAUGUGAGAUACGGAGACAGCAUCAAAAUAAACCAAAAACUGUGUCCACAAGAUGCUUAUUAGAAAAAACUAAAUUCCAGAACAGGAUAGUCUAGGUCCAGGUCGCAUUACAUCGAAGAGUUUCGAACAGAAUUUCACGGAUUAAUAAUGACACAAUCUCAGCAGCCUCAGCAACCUGUUAGAACAUUGAACAAACACCAUUAGAUACGUUGAAGUGAAAAAGAUAAAUAAAGAAAAAGAGAAGAAAAAUGUCACCACAAUAAAUAGUAGAAGAACUAUAAACUGGUUUUCCUAUUGAUUUUUUUGUUCCGAAAAAAAAAAAAAGAUAUGCAAACAACAAUAACCGACUAAGAAGACCACAAAAUUUCGACACGACUAAGAAGACCACAACUUUUUAGGACAAUCCACUGUCCCAAACGGAUCCCAUACCAGUACCGGUGUCAAGUUAUGUCGACACGGGUACAUUGGGGUAAAACAAAGAGCUAAUCUGUUAGUGUCACCAGUUUGACAAGCAUGGUGCAGCUUAUACCCCUGAUGGCAACAAUGGCUUUCACCCUGACAAAAUUAUACAUAACUUGAUGACUAUGUCUUGGAAAAUCUUGUGCAUUGCUCAGGCUUCCAAGAAAGAUAGAUGGUGAGAGUGAUAGCUGGAAAUUUCAAUCACUUAAUAAAGCUCACUUCUCUCUUCCUUUCUACCUGGAUCGUAAGAAUCAACUUUCCAUUCCAUGGAACUGGUCAUGAAAAAGUUAAUGUGUGUUAGGAACCAAAUAUACCCCUCAUUUCAACACACCUUAUUUAUAUCUACAGCCAAGCCCCACAAAAACUUUGGGUUUUAAGAGGACGGAAAGCAAAUUCCAUCAAAAAAACGGUUUCAAGAUUAUAAUCGUGUUUGAAUUUACUGAUGACAAGAAUGAUGAAUCCAGCUACAGCUUUGCCGAGUAAUGUCAUCAGAAAAACCACUUCUAACAGGCUUGAGUAUCAUUCUUCAAUGCAAGUGUAGAUACCAAACCAGUAACAUGCCAACUUGCACUCACAGCAGUUUUGUUACCAGCAAUUAGCCAGUAGGGUUUUCAGACUUCAAUAACAGUAUGAGAGCUGCGAAAACACUAUGCAAUGAAAGUUGCUAACAAGCAACUGUUAAGAAUUGAACUUUGUUCCAACCUCGAAAGGAAAAGAUAUCAGAAACUAUAAUACUCAACAACUGUUAUUUGCCUAUAUCUCUCUCUGCCCCUAACUCAAACAUACUUUCCAUUCAACUGAAGUUCAAACUCAAUAAAAGCCCAGAUUCCCAGGAAUACAGCUUAUUUUUAAAUGUGAGUAUUAUCCUCAGCUAUCUUUUCUCUGGAAAAGCUGUUUAAUCAGAUUCUUUCCUAGCUGGGGAUACAAUGUAUCUCUACAUGCCCCUUGGAAGAGAGCUUUUGGCUACAAACCUCAAUAGGCCACAAUUGUUUUCCAGCUUAGCUCCACUACAUGGAUAAUUUCCUAUUUCUUUUUUUUUCAAGUCCUUUUGCCCAGUAUCAAGUGAAAAAUGAGGCUCAUACAAGAAAUGAAAGCUGUAACUGGCCAAAUCCCAUGGUUUUUUCUUCAUGCGAGCAGUUGCACUUAUAGCCAGUUUGUCACACGCCAAAUAGUCUACUCACUUAAUAUAACUAAAAAGCAGUCACGAAACACAACUGCUCUUAAUAAAAAAGAAGACAUCCAUUUAGCUUGAUGAUUUCAUAAGGUUCAGAUUGAUGCUUUGACAGAAUUUGGUAAACAUUCAGGUACAAAUGAAAAAACCUAGACAGAAACCUGAUGUACUGCAGGUGAACAUUUAUUAUCUAGUACAAAGGCAUUACAUUUGCAAUCUUUUCCAUUACAACAGAAUGAUUAGCUUCAAUACUUCUGAGGUACAAAAUUAUCAAAAUUUGUUCAGUUGACAACAGAAAACUAGUCAGGCCAUUAUAGUUAGCACAUCUAGAAACAACUUUGGGGUUAGAACAUUCAAAGGUAGCAAAAAGCUAAACACAGAUCCACACAAAGCAAAGGAACUAAAAAGUUCUCUCACUGAGUAUGUCUGAGCUGCAACAGAGCAUAUACAUCCUAAAACAAGUUCAUAUACAUUGUCUCCAAAGUGGCACUAUUCUUUGCCUACCAACUGAAGCAAAUCUCCAACCAACAAAAGUAAGGUACAAAAGAAGGAUAUAAGCUUUAUCACAAAGAAGCACAUAAAUGAGCAAUGCAACACUCUUAACAGAUACAGAAAUUCACUAAGAAACUCAUAAACUUGAAUUAAACCACAUUCGAUUAGAGAAAACGUAAAUGACCACUUACAAAACUAAAACAAGAAAAAUCCUUGAUUAAUACUCCCUCCGUUCCAUUUCAUUGACACAGUCAUAUUUUCCUUUUAAGUUCUCCCAAAAUAUUUAUAACUUACAUAAAUUGGCAAACACAUUUGCAUUCAAUUCCUCCAUUUACCGUUCAAACACUCCCUAAAAGUCCAAUGCAUGUGUCUUUUCAUGAGCCCACAGAUUAUUACCAACGAAACUAAGACAACUUCUUUUGUAGUACGCGCUAGCUGGCAUUAAGAAACUAAAGCAAUUAAGUGUUCCGAUGCACGCGCUAGUUGGCAAUCACAUCUGCGAUUGGACAAACAUCUUGGCUCCACAAUUCUUUAUGUCUUAGUACAACACUUAAAGCUCUUCAUGGGGGUGAAACGAGAAACUACAGCAUCAAUUUUCAAAUUCUAUCCACUCUUCAUAAAAAUUACAGUUCCCGAAGUGCGAUAAAUUUUAUGGGAUGAAGACCAAAACUGUCAUUAAAUUGCCUAUCAUACGAGUCAUUAGCUCAUAAAUUGCAAGCACUUCAACCAAAAAUUACAUUUCUAUGCCAAAAACCCCAUUCAGAGAUAACCUUAAGCUGUCAAACAUAGAGAUUAUAAAUCCUAAAGACUGUCAAUUAAAAAAACUAAAGCAAACCCACUUAACAAAACCUAUCCAACAGUCACCCAAGAAAAAAAAUUUUAUUUACCUUCCCUAAGAUUAAACCAAAUAAAACUUGAAACCCAGAAAAAUGUCAAAAAGCCUCCAAAAAAUCCCAGGAAAAAUUAUCCAAAAUAGAAGUCAAAGAAAAAACUAAAAAAUAAUUACCUUUAGAUCAAGCAUUUGGCAGUUUGAGGAAUAGGCUGCGCCGCUGGGGAGCCGUGUUUUUGUUGGGCUUCGGCUUCCGGGAUCUUCUGCAUCCGUUCCAUGACAAGCUCGUACACUCUCUUCUUACCUGCUUGAUUGAUUAACAAAUUGAUAAGACCGAAACAAGUAAUCUAUGUGGAUAUGCCACUCAUAUUCUCUGCCUGAUCAAUUAUACAUGUAAACAAAAUUCACAGCUUGAGGUAAAGCAAAAAUCAAGAGUCGGCCUUGUUUGGAUUCCCAUUUCUUCCCAAAAAAUUUUACACUUUGCGAUAAUGCAUCUUUCAAUCACUUUUUUUACCUCAUAUCAUAUCGUUACAAUAUUUUUUUAACAGAAACUCCAGAAAAUAGUAUCCAGACGGGCUAUUUGCGAUCUCAAAAGCAGCAGUCAAAAUGACUGCUGCACUGCCCCACUCACAUCGGUUGAGCUGAAGGAACUACAAUUACACAGUCAAAAUGACUGAAGCUCUAAUAGAAAGGCCGCCAGAGUUGCUCCAAAUUAACCGGUCCAUAUCCGCUGCUAGUACAGCAAUGAUACUGAAAGAUGAAGUUGCAAUCUUGCUGCUGCUGCUAGUCUUCUCAUUGAAAUUAAUGUCUUAGUAUCCACAGAAUUUUCUCAAGUACCCCACAGCUUUCUCUUCACAGACUCGACCACAAUUACCAUGGUCCCCCCAGCUCUCUAUUGGACUCUUUUCUCAUGGCAGCCGGCUGCCAACCAGGGUGAUAGACUGAUAAACCCAAGAAUCUUUUUCUAUUUUGCUAACUUCCAAGAAAUAAUUUCAAGCAGAAAUUUGUCCCUUUCCUUACCUGCCUCCAAAAGAAAUUAUAGAAAUUACUCUUUGGAGUAUGGGAGUAUAGUAUAGUUUGAAUCAGUCUAAAGACUUGACUUUUCCGACUUGGCAAGUCCACGCAGGAGUUUACAGUGACGGAGCCAUCCUCACUUCAUUUUCCAAGGACCAAUAAUUCCUCCCACCUCAUCCUGCAAAUCCUACACCAGCUUUAAACCGAUCAUCUCCAUCGAUGUAGGAGUAAUCUGUGUGUUUUGGGGUACCCUCUUAAUUUUGCUCCAAUGUUUACUCCUCUUGUAUACCUUUCCUUUCUCUUCAAUCUCUUGUUCAUCAUCACUUCCAGCGAUACUCCACCUUACAGCCCCACAGAUUACAUCCUGAUCAACUGCGGAUCAUCCUCAAACGCAACCUCAGCCGAUGGCCGGAACUGGUACGGCGACGCCGGCUCAAAAUUCUCCCCUAACGACAUGGCGACUAUUUCUUCAGCUGUCACAGCCACCGAGCAAGACUCUUCGGUCUCCGGAGCCCCUUAUUUAACUGCCCGUAUCAUUCGUUCUAAUUUCUCCUAUACCUUCCCUGUCUCCCCCGGAAAAAAGUUCGUCCGCCUUUACUUCUACCCGGCCUCCUACUCCAGCGACUUCAACGCAACUGAAUCUUUCUUCGCUGUCUUGGCUAAUAACUACACCCUUCUGAGCAACUUUAGCGCAUUUUUAACAGUUUCUUUCGGUGGAUCCUCAUCUGCCUCCCUUGUUAAAGAAUUCAUCAUUAAUGUUCAGGCUAUGAACCAAUUCCUCAACGUUACCUUUUCGCCCUCUCCGAAGGCCUACGCGUUCAUUAAUGGAAUUGAAGUUGUUUCAACCCCGGACGGACUCUACAUGGGCAACCAUGAUAUGUCCAGUAAUCCCCUCAAAAACGUGAAUGAUCCCAACAUUCAGUUCGAGCUUGAUCAGAACGACACUGCCUUCGAAGCUCUUUACAGGCUUAACGUCGGAGGACAAGCUGUUACUGCGUUAGAUGAUAGUGGGAUGUUCCGAGGGUGGGAUAGCGAUGACAGCUUCACCUGGGGCGCAGAUGAAGGGAAUCCAUGGAGCAAUAAUAAAAUUGCUGUCAAGUACACUCCGCAAACCCCAAAUUACACUGCGCCAGCGAUAGUUUAUACUACCGCAAGGGCGAUGGGCAAGUUUAGCACCCGAUUCAACUUGAGCUGGACGUUCUCUGUUGAUUCUGGGUUUAAUUAUCUCCUGAGGUUGCAUUUUUGCGAGAUUGACCCUGAUUUGAUUACACAAGAGAACCAACGGGUGUUCAGGAUAUUCAUCAGUAACAAAACAGCUGAGGAAGAGGCUGAUAUUAUAAAUUGGACCGGCGGCCCCGGAAUCCCGGUUUUCAGAGACUACGUCGUGUUCGUUCCACACCCACCGGAUGGUCGCCCGAGCAAGCAAGGCUUGUUUCUUGCUCUGUACCCAAAUCUCGACGUCAAGCCGAAGUAUGCUGAUGCAAUCUUGAAUGGUUUAGAAUUGUUCAAAUUGAGCAACAGCGGCAGUCUUGCCGGGACCAAUCCUGAUCAGGCGGCGGAUCCCAAUUCCCCGAUGCCAAACAGCAAGUCACCGAAAAAGGGGAGAGGUGUAAAAUCUCCGGUACUUUUUCCUAUCGUGGGAGGGGUGGUCGGAGGGUCUGCCUUGGUUUUCAUCAUCGGUUUCUUGAUUUCCCGGCGGCUAAGGAGACGGGUAAAAGAUUUUGACCAGAAAAGUGCUUCAAAGUCAUCCGGGGUCCAACUUUCAACCAGGUCCAGGUCAUCAAAGACAACAAGUGCAUCGAGGUCUUCGUCACUGCCUCUAGAUCUUUGCCGAAGAUUUUCCCUGGAGGAGAUCAUCUUUGCUACGGCCAACUUCGAUGCUAAGUUUGUGAUCGGAACCGGAGGAUUCGGAAACGUGUACAAAGGGUACAUUGACAAUAGUCUAAUCACAGUUGCUAUUAAGCGAUUAAAUCCUUCGUCAAGUCAAGGGGUCCGCGAAUUUCGAACCGAGAUCGAGAUGCUGUCGAAUCUAAGGCAUCUUCAUCUGGUAUCCCUGAUAGGUUACUGUGACGAGAAGGGAGAGAUGAUCUUGGUUUAUGAUUACAUGGCCAAUGGCACCCUUCGCGACCACCUCUACAAAACAGAUAAUCCACCCCUCCCUUGGAAGCAACGGCUUCAGAUUUGCAUCGGCGCAGCCAGAGGGUUGCAUUAUCUCCACACCGGCGCCAAGCACAAUAUCAUCCACCGGGACGUCAAGUCAACCAACAUAUUACUGGACGAGAAAUGGGUGGCCAAGGUUUCUGAUUUCGGUCUGUCCAAGCUAGGCCCCAGCGGUGGAAUCCACAGCCAUGUCAGCACGCAGGUGAAGGGGAGUUUCGGCUACGUAGAUCCCGAGUAUUACAAGAGACAGCAGUUGACGGACAAGUCGGACGUGUACUCGUUCGGGGUGGUUUUGCUCGAAGUGCUGUGUGGGCGGGGAGCCAUUAUUCCCAACUUGCCCAAGGAGCAGGUGAAUUUGGCGGAGUGGGGCAAGAGGUAUUACGCUAAAGGGAUCAUCCAUCAAACUGUAGACCCUCACAUGAAGGGCGAGAUUGCUCCCGAGUGUUUGAGGAGUUUUGCUGAAACGGCGAUCAACUGUUUGAAAGAUCAGGGGAUUGAACGACCCGGAAUGAAUGAUGUAGUCUGGAGCCUCGAAUUCGCGUUGCAGCUUCAGGAGGCGGCUGAAAAUGAGAGAGGCUAAUUGAUUAGAAUAUAGGUGUAAAAAAGAAAAGUCAGAUACUUGCGGAUCUCACAGAGCCCAUGUAUAAAAUUAUGGGUACCGGGCUGUCUGAUAGAGCCCAUGUAUAAAACUAUGGGUACCGGACUGAGACAGCCCGACACCCGACAGAAACCCUUUUUUUUUUUAAACAUGUCAGUGUCAGCCCGGCACCUGACACAUUUUUUUUGAAAAAAGAUGUCAAGUGCCGGGCUACACCUGACAUCCAAUUGAGUGAAUUGCAAUUCAUCCAAUUGAGUCAAUUGCAAUUCACUUUAUUUGUUAAGCUAGUUGAUAAAUGCAAUUCACUUUAAUUAGUUUAGUGAAUUAAUUAGUUUAAUUAAUUGAGUGAAGUAAUUUUAAGAGAUUCGAUUAACUGUAUUUAAUUAAAGUGAUGGUUUUAUUUGUUACUAGGUAUUCUGCCCUGACGCUAUGCAUCAGGUAGGUUGGAUCCGGUAUUUUAUUAUAAUGAGUAUGAGUUUGAAAAAUUGGAGGGCGGAAAGAAUUAUUCAAUCGAACUUUAACGUCAAGUAUGUCUUGAAACUCACUGCAACAUCAAACAACAAAGAUCCAGUACAGAGGAGGGGAAAAAAGGAUAGCCCUCCAUCAUAAUAAAAGAACAAAGCCAUAAUUUUGUUCAAGGAAAGAGACCUUGGAUCUGCCCAGAAAGAAGUUUUAUCCAACUCAGGAACUAUAAGCGUCACAUUCAAAUGUCUGGCAAUUGCGACCAUGUCAUGUAUCUGUACCCCAAUAACAUAGAGGAAAAGUAUAGGUUAUCAAAAAUUGCUGUCAUAAGCCAGUUCAAACAUGCAAGCCACAUUAUUAAGAAUCUACUAAUCGCCGCCUGCAUUUGGUUAAGGCCUCCGUUGCAUGAAACCAUUAGAUAACCAUUGUUCUUGUAAACUCCUACAUCAAAAGGUGCAAAUUUCAAAUCUGAUUGUAGGUGGGGGAAAAUAGUAGUCAAAAUACCAAAUACAAUUCCAACAAGGGACAAAUUAAUGAUCCAUGCUUAUUCCAAAUAAAACAAACAACACAUUUAUGAUUAACCGCUGCAAAUAGAGAAUGCAGCAAAAUCCACUGAUGCAGUAAAACAACCUAAGAGGUUUGUUAUACCAAUUACUUCAUUUCAAAACAAAACAAAAGAUCAACAACCACCGCAAACUCUCAAUUCUACAAGUGCUUGGAGCAACCAAAUCUCUCAGGAACUUGCCGCAUGCUUCUCAACUUUUCAAUAAUCAACCAGCAGUCCAAGUCAGUCGUUUCAUCCAUCGGUGUGUGAAAUUAAACCCCACUUUCCUAAAUUCAAAGACCCUUAGAUUCUACAUUAUAAAGCACCCUGAACACCACAAAUACACCCACCUCAUAUCCACUAUCCUUUCCGCUUACAUUCACCAAAAUAUGAGCUUCUACUUCCCAUCUUUUAAAGCGAUCAACAUCAACCAUCAAAACAGCAAAUUCAUUACAGCGCCCAAAAAUAAAAAUCAAAGAGCAAAAACAGAAUCAAUCAAGUAGUAAUACUCAUUCUUGGGAGGAAGAACUCGAGCAGGGACAUCUUCAGGGGCAGAUUUAACAUCCAAAGCGGAAGCAGAACCAGUAACAGAAUCCUGAGAAAAGCAAGAUGGCCAUCCCUUCAAAAUUCUAGGACCAAAACUUUCACCCAAUGCCGUUAACUAAACCAAGCAAUUCCACAACAUCACAGAUGUAGUAGCCCUUAUCAUCCAUAGCUUCAUUUCGACCGUGAAACCAUGGAAUUUUUAAACUUCUCUACUCUACUAUGUUGAAUAAUAUUUCCACCUUUCAACCCCAUCACCCCACCUAAUCCUAACCCUAACCCUAGCCCCCUUAAACCCCAGUUCUUCCUCCUCCUCCAAACACUCUCCUCACUCUUCUCUUUCUCUAUUCUGCACAUAUCCCCCAUACAUCAAAAUUCCCCGCCUCCCCUUUUCUUCAAAAAAAUCAACAACUUCUCAUUAAAUUCUGCAGAAACUAUUACGUUUAAUCUAUGAAUGAAAAAAAAUCCCUGAUCUUAAUUUACAAUCUAAUAGAAAAUUCAAAAGGAAAACAAGGGAAGGAAAAAACACCGCCCGGAGAAAGCUAAGAAGAAGAAUGAGGAACGGGAAAGACACUGGUAAACAAGGCGAAGAAAAGAACGAGAAGAAACAAGACCGACAAAAGAAUAGGAAAAAGUAGUAGCUCUUCGCGGCCCAUUUUUUCGC